GUUUACAAUUUCACUACUCUAUAUAACCUAUUCGUUGCUUAUCAUUUCAAUCACACCUUCUCACCAAAUUCAUCUUCUGAAUUCAUAAUUUUUUCUUUCUUUCUAUGUUUUGCGAAUUCGAUUUUCAAUUAAGAAAGUUCCGAUGAGGAAGAAAUCCCCUUAAAGAUAGGAAGUGCCGUAUGACACUUUAAACAGCAGCGGAUCACGGCGGCGCGUCAUCCCAUCCACCAAUUCGCCGGCCUCCGAUCAUUAACACGAUCUUAGAGCUCAGUUCGUUGGUCGGGAUUCGCGUUUUAGCCUCUUCCACUGUGUGUGUGAUUUUGAACGGGUCUCUGAGGUUUUUUUCAUCUACUUUUCUAUCAAAUCAUUUGAUUUUUUCUUCAUAUCUUCUGGUUCGAUGCCACGUCGACGGUAGCCAAAAGUGCAGUGACCGACGAUGCUAUGAUUGAACCUAUAACAGACUUUGUGUCUUUCGCAAUUUUAUAGGAACCUGUGAACUGAUUGUUAUCCGUUCAUUCACAGAGCCGGUUUUUGCGAUUACAUUUUUUUUAAUAAAAAAAAUAUUUUUAAUUGAUUGAUUUUUGAUGAAAUUUGUGUGUUGCCAAUGAGGUAUUAAAUCGUUAUAAGUUGGAAUUACCGACUGAUUUUACAUUGAUGAUACAUCGACUAUCUGAGGCAUUUCAAAUUGUUUUGAAUUUUUUGGAUCUUAAUAUUCAUAUAAAAAAGAUAAAUUGAUCGAUAGUUUGUUUUUUUGGCAUUAAUAUUAUAUGAAUAUUCACAGCAGAUCAUGUUGUAAUUCAUAAGAACAAGGAAUUGCUUUUUAACUAAAAUGUCCGAAUUAGGGUGUAACGUUUUUAAUUAGUUCCACACUAUUAAAAUUUUUUUGGAUGAAAAUAAUUUAUUCAGGUGAUAACUUAUUUUUAUUUUAGAUUUGCUAUGUGGUAGUUGUUUGUGGUUUGUAGAUAGUGAUUUUGAAUUGUUUUGUGUCGAGGCUUGAACAAUGUUGCUUGAUGAUUCUUGAAAGUGCCGAAGUGUAGCUCAAGAGCACGUGUGAAUUUGUAAUUUGUCUUACAGAAGAUUGUUGUUGGCUUAUUCUCCUUGAAAGGAAAAAGAUGAUUCAUUUCGGAAUGUUGAUAUAUGACAUUUUCUGGAAAGUUGAUAGCUGACGUUUGCUUGAGACUUGAGAGGAUUAUGUGUGGUUAAGAAAACUUAGGUGUGAUUUGUGAGGGAUUAAGAAUUAUAAAUCUAUUUGUGAUCCAAAAGAAAAAAAUGACUAAUGGGAUGGGGAUUGCAUCAUCUGUUCCCGAUUAAUUUUAGGUUUAAAGAAAUUAAUUUUUUAGGUUAAAAGAAGUCUAUAAUAUAAUUUUAUAAUUUUUUUUGACAUCCCUAAUUAGUGCAAUGAGAGUAAGAUCCCUGACAACAAAUAGGAAAUAGUAAGGAAAGAUGAUAUUAGAUAUAGCACGGAAAAGGAGAAGAGACUACUUGAGUAGGUAAUGAGAGAAAUUAGAGAGGAUAAAGCGUAGUAUGUAAGAAAAAGAAAGAGAAAGUUUGGAAGAGAAAAGAGCACAAUAUGUAUUGAUGCAUACAAGUAAUUUUGUUGGAAUGUUGACUAAUGGAAUCUUUAACGUAUCCUGGUUACCUGAUAAAAUAAAGUAUGUUGGAAUGUUGACUAAUGGAAUCUUUAAAGUAUCCCGGUUACCUGAUAAUCUCUCGUAUUCGGCUAUAGCAAGAGCCCUAAAUCUAGAGCCGCUUGACAUUCCAAUCUAGUUUCAACAAUGCACUUUUCGGACUGAGAAAGAGGGUUUGCUUGGCGUAAUGAUUCAAAUUUGGAAAUAAAUAACAAAAAAUAUUUUACAAGGAUUCUGUACAUAUAAAAAACGUAGAAAUCUGAUUUAUGAUGAAGAAAGUUAUGACCCGUCGAAAUUUUACGAUCAAACAGACAUGAGUCGAUAAUCGUAAAAAGUGAAUUUUUGAAAACUAUUUUUUAGCCUUUAAACGAAAGCGUACAAUUUUAAUUUUUCUAAGAUUCAUAGCAGUAUACAACUUGGAAAUUGAAUUUCAGAUUGAUCGAUUAUUGACACAAUCUAAACGACAAUUGAAGAUCUUGUUAAUAGAAGCUCAACGAUAUAAAUACAGUCGAAAACGGACGUCAGAUGAUAAAGUUAUGAAUUUUUAACAGAUUUUUAACUGUCUAAGCAUGUUAAAAUAUACCUUUAUAGAUAACGUCAAAACUAGCCGACAGAGUUUAUGUAACAUCCUGAAUUUUAGAAGUAUGAUUUAAAGGUUUAUAGUGUAUAUUCGAAGAAGGAACUCGAUGAGUAGGUACGCUUACUCGUCGAGUCGGAGCGAGUUUGGGUCGCGAAUUAAGUGACCAACUUGCCGAGUCGAAAGCUGGACUCGACGAGUUUGUGCUGGAAUGAGAAAACCCUAAUCUUUGGGUUUGCAUCCUAUUUAAAGGACUUUAUGUCCUUCUCCCAGCCUCCUAAUCCCCCAGAGAGUUCUAGAAAACCCUAAUUUCGUGUGAGACUUCAUUAUUGAGGAGAUUGGAGCUUGGAAGAGGAAUUUGGUGGAAGGAGCUUGAGAAAUUAGGGGCUAGUAUCAAGGGGCUUGUAUGGAUCUGGGAUCUACAUAUGUUUGGACAUAUUUCAGAGGUAAGAAGCCAUAAUCUUAUGCUAAUUUCCAUUUUGGUUCAUCCUUGGUGGUUGAUGUGGAGUUCCUUGGCUUGUUUGAGAUCUAUCUCGAGUUGGAGUUUAGAUCUGAGGUUCCUACUCCAGAUCUAGACUUAUGAUGGCCUAGAAUGUCAUAAAGUUUCAGUCAUUGAGUUGUUGGUGAAGCCCCUUUGUCUAAAACCCAAGCCAUAGUGUGUUUUGGGCCUUUAUCUCCUUGGUUUCACGUAAAGUUUGCAACUUUAUGUGAGGGUUAGAUUGUAGAAUGGUGGAUCUAUGGUUUAGAGCCCCUGCAUGGCUCGAAAAGCCUCUAUAUGGAAUAAGAAAUGGAGAAACUCAGGGAGUCACAUGGGUGUACUCGACGAGUUGUAUGAACAUGUGCAGGGACUCGGCGAGUUGGAAGAACAACUCGGCGAGUCUAUUGAAGAUUGUCUUGGACUCGGCGAGUCUGUUCUUGGACUCGGUGAGUCAGGUCGCAGAACCCCAACCUCUUUUGGUUAAAUCCUUGGAUUAAGUGAGUCGGUCGGCGACUCAUUGAGUUAGACAGGAUGCGACUCAGAGAUUGUUGGACUCGGCGAGUCUUGGGGUGACUCGGCGAGUUAAGUUGUCUUAUGAGAGUUUUUUGGGAAUGGGAACUCGGCGAGUCGACAGGUUGACUCGACGAGUAGAAUCAACCGGGAAGGUUGACUUUGACUGAGGACUUUGACUUUGACCAAUAGUUGACCAGUUUGACUUCAAGGGUAUUUUGGUAAUUCUGGUAUUUAUGGCAUUGGUUCUUUGAUAGUGUUCUGUGGUGAAGUUUGUGUCGGUGGUCGAAGCAGCUUGGUCUUAUCUCUCCAGUCGGCAAUUGCAGGUGAGUUAUCCUCACUAUACCGACAUGGUCUACGACACCAAGGCCGACCCUUUAUCGGAUGGAAAUCCGGGUAUUGUUUGUUAUGUUAUUGCUUUGCUAGAUUUGCAUCCUAGUAUUUAGGAUGGUGUUAUGUUAGUGACCUCGUUAAGGUCGGUACCCGAUAUUUAGGGUAGUGUUAUGUUAUUGACCUGGUUAAGGUCGGUACCCGGUAUAUAGGGUGAUGUUAUGCUAGUAACCGGUUAGGUCGGAAUCCUGGUUAGGAUGUUGAUAUGCUAUGUGAUUUGUUAGACUGUUUGUCUGGUUAAUGAUUUGUUAUGUGAUUAAUUGCUUUAUGUGCACAUGAUUGUUUGACGGGGGUUGGAUUGAGGCGGGUCCUGCUUUGUGUUGUAGGCCAACAUAGCCACGCCGGACCGGAUAUUCCGAAGGCCGAGCGAGCGGUUCGGAUAGGCUGAAGGCCCCAAGAGGGCGGACCAGACGUGCCGAGGCUCGGGGGGUGGGACANUCCAUCUUGUGUGAUGAUUGGACCCAUAGUAGUUAUUGUUGUAUGUAUAGGAUUUGGGCAUUCCAACCCGAUGGUUGUGGACCGAGAGUAUUCCAUCCCGGUAGGAUGAUUGGGCUCGUGUUAUGUAGGCAUACCAACCCGAUGGUUGAGGGCCAGGGGUAUUCCAAUUGGAAGGUUGAUUGGUCCCGUAAUAUGUUGUUCUUUGCUGUAUGCGUAUGUUUAUGUGUGUAUGGGUACUUUGGGGGAACUCACUAAGCUUUCGGGCUUACAGUUGUGGUUUAUUGUUUCAGGUGCUUCAGGAGAUCGUGACAAGGCGAAGGCGUGAUCGUACCGCUCUUCAUGUUUUAUGAUUUAUGUGAUAUGGUUCUGGGGAAUACUCUGGUGUUUAAACUAUUUUGAAAACAAGUGUAUGAACUUAAUGGUUUUUAAAUGAAUUAAAAUGUUUUAAUUUGGCUCGAAUUUUAUGGUCGCUACAGUUUAAACGAAAGUUGUCGAUCACAUCGUUACGUACAUAUGGAUAUAAAGAAUGUAAAAAAACGUAGCUCGUAUGUGAAAGUUACGAAAUUUAGAAGAUAUUUUGUUUUUGGGUUAAGUUCUGGAGGUGACACGUGGCAUAAACUCAGCCCCACCUUCCUCCCCAUGACUUUGCAUAUGAUCUCGACACGUGGCAUGCGUACGCCCAACGUAGCAUGCGUACGCCCAACAUAUAGCAGUACACCCAACGUACAUCAAAAUUACUCCCUGUGUACUCACAAGUUUCAGCCUAUAAAUAGAGGCGCAAAUAAUCUCAUUUCUUUACACCUUUCUAACUUUUUCUUUCCCAAACACCCCAAAACCCUCAAGGUUUUUCCCUAGCACCUCCUAGGUGUUAGUAGCGAGUCCCAGAGCGCCAGACGGUCCCGAGAAGAAGAGCUGGCUCAGAAGUUCUGGUCGCACAGAGUCCGGUUCCUCGCUAAACUCUCUUGUAAGUGAGUUAUGCUUACCCUACUUUCAGUAUAACUUAUUUUUAAGCUCAUUAUCGUUAUUUGAACAUAUAAACAAGAUUUAUCAGUGAUUCUAAAUUGUUAUACUGAUUGAUCUACUUACGGGGAUGAUGUCUAGGUUGUGAUUUAAUGAGGUGUUUAAAGUGAGAUUUCCAAACAGUAUACUUCGUAUACCAAACGGACCAUACCUCCGAUAUGAUCCUACCUGGUUGUUCCUUACUUGAUAGAUCAUGAAAGUAGACUUUGAGUUAAUGAUGAAUCUAGACUAAUAAUUAGUCGCAAUAAAUAUUAGACUAAAAACUUAUUGAUUAGGUUUCGUCGAAGAAAAAAACGAUUGUUAGAAGCGAAGCACUGUCCGAAUUUCGAGUCAUCACUUUAACAAGUGAGUACAUAGUCCCUUUCAUGAACAUCAUUUUAAUACAAGUAUUAAUUAAAGUAUUAAAUAUAUGUUUAUGUGUGAAAUAUUGGAUAUUGCCUGAAAUACGUGUUAAGAACAUAUCUGAUAAUAUAUGAUGAUUUAUGAUACAGAAUAAACCUAAAUUAAUUAAAAAGAAUACCGAGUGGUAUAUUCUUAUGAGUACGGGUGAGAUAUACACGGAGGGUAGAACUUUAAAAAGUGUCAUUAAUCCGAGAGCAUGGAUUAGACAUAUUCAUUCGUCCCUAGUUCGAGAGUAUGAAGUUGGCAUAAUCACGUGUCAUUGAUCUGAGAGCAUGAAUUUGACAUACUUGAUCCGAGAGUAUGAAUUAGGUAAAGCUGUUAAUUUUAUAUUCGAGAGCAUGGAUCGUAUCGUUAUGAGGAUCGACGGGGUAGGGUAAAAAUUGCUUAUAUGAGGUGAAAUUGUAUAUAUUGUGAGUUCUAAAAUAUAUAUGAUAUAAGAUUAUGAGAUUGAAAUCCCUAUGUACUCACCAGGUUUCCCAACCUGACCCACUCAGUUUAUUUCAAUCACAUGUAUCGAUGCGAAAAUACACUACACUAAAAGAUUAAAGGAGAUGUAAAUCAUUAGUGUAAAUGAAUGUAAGGUAUGCUUAUGCUUAUGUUUCUGUAUUGACGAUAACAUCCCAAUGUUUUAAAUAAAAAGACAUUUCUUCGAAAAUGCUUUGAUAACAUCGUUAUCAUGUUUUCUGGAAAUAAAUUCCGCAAUACUACUUUUCAAAAAUGAUACUCUGAUUUUUAAUUAAGCAUAAAUAAAAAUUUUAAAAUGACCGUGAAUGUGGGGAUGUCACAAUCGAGAAGGAUAAAGAGGAGGAGAUUAGAUUAUGAAAAGGAGAAUAGAAAAAUGUAAUAUGGAAAGAUAAAAGAGAAAGAAGAAGAAUACAUAGACAUGAAAAUAGAAAAAAAUAACUUACCAACCAUUAUUGUCUGUGACAUUGUUGUCUACAAUGUCUGAUGUUGUAGAGAUGUUUCAUGUUUUAUAGGUUCAUCUAACAGUCAUGGUACGUGAAAAGAUAGGAGCACAUUGAGUUCGACUAUAUUGCUAAUUUAGUUGUAUUUUACCUUGUUGAUUAUUAAAAUUAUAUGUAUGAUUUUAUUGUAAACUCGAAUGUAACCUGCGAUGUAAAUUGUUUUGAGUUAAUAGAAUUUCGUCUUUUAGUAGAUAAGUUCAUAAGUAUGACAAUUCCUAGUUAAUUAGAUGUAGAAAGUCCAGAUCGUUACAAUUUUACCUUAUUAUCCUUUUGGGGAUGGUCAUGGUUGUUUUAGGUUGCAUUGACUUAUGAUUAUCUCCUUGUUUGCAUCCAUGACCUUGAUUUUGUCUUUGGACUCAACGUAGACCUUAACUUUCACUUAAGGUAUUUGUAAAAUAGGUUUAAAAUGUUUUUUUUAAGUUAAAAAUAUUUAAACCAAAUGAAAACAACAAACCAUUUUUUAAAAUGUAAAUCUUAUAUUUUUCCUAUGGAGAAAAUGUAAUAUCUUGUUUUCAUGUAUUCCAUUUUGACCCUUAGUUUGAGUAUUGUUUGCAAAAUUAGUCCCGAGUGGCAUUUUUGUAGUUUUAUGAGGCUACAUGUGUACGAUGGGCGUACGUGGCCAGGGUACAAACCCUUUUUUUUAGGGUUUGGACCCUAUUUAAACAUCAUUAUAGCCUGAUACUCUUUCUUAACUCCAACCUCCAUCUCCCAUAGCCUCCAUCUCGAAAGCCUAAGUGUGUGAGUGUGUUUUGGAGCUUUGGAGUGUCAUUUUGGUUCUCUUGGUGGUGAAGGAAGACUCUUGGAGUUGUGGUGUUUCACUGAAGUCUUUGGAUCCAACAACUACUCUCCUUUGUGCGUCUUCUGAGGUAUAAAGCUCCAUCCUUGAUGAAUAUUCCUUCAGAUCUUGUUCAGUCUUAGAAGGUUACACCUUUUUGUACCAAAUCUUGAUUCUUGUGAGUAUGGAAUACUACAGGACCUUUAAGUUGUCCUUUAAGAUGUUUUAGGGCAUGAUAAGUCAUUAAAAUGUAAUCUUUAUCCUUAGUUUUCCACCAUGCAUGGUCUAGGUUGUCUUAAUGAGUUAAUAAGUUAGGGUUUUUAGUAUUCAACACUUAAUAGCCAUGCAAGAUCAUAAAGUUGGAAACUUUAUGAUUAAGGACAUCAUUUGAGGAGUACAUUUGGACUUUGGACGAAAAGGAUUAAAUGAUUAAGCUCUUAAUAGAAAGGAAUGAUGGCAGACGCGUAUGUUGUGCGUACGUGGUCAACUCGACGAUUCUAGUCAAUACGUAGUACGCCCCGCGUACGGGUUGAGUACGCCCAACGUACUCAUUGAGUUGACCCGGUUGACUUUUGACUUUGACCUAGGGGUAUUUUGGGUAUUUUGAGCUAUAGUCUGAGUUUUGGUCACUGUUAUUUGUAAAGGUGAUCGGUAGAGUUGGUUUUCAGAGCAACGUGUUGUUUCAUCUUUUGUCCGACUGUGAGGUGAGUUUUUCAUGGUAUCCAUGGGUCGAAGGCACCAAUGCCGACCUAUUAUUGUGUUAUGUAGGAUGAUAGUCGUUGUGUGGCUUCUAUGUGGUUGCAUGUUCGGGUUGAAAUAAACCCCAGGGUGGGACCCACUAUUGUAUGAUUAGGUUGGAAUAUACCCUAAGGCCGGGCCCUAGGGCUAGGCCCAUAUGUGUUGAUCAGUUUGAAAUACACCCCAGGGCCCAUAUAUGUAUAUCGGGUUGGAACACACCCCAUGGUUAAGCCUAGUUGUAUGAUUGGUAUGUGGUACUUUGGGGAACUCACUAAGCUUUGUGCUUACAAUUUAUGUUUAUGGUUUCAGGUACUUCCGGUUCAAAAGGGAAGGACCCGACAUGAUGGCACAACAUCCUCCCCUCGUGAUUUCCACAUUUUGAAUAAUUGAACUAUGCUAUUUUGAUAUUAUAUAUGGUGAUGGUUUUUGAAACAAUUAUUGAAUGAAAUUGUUGGUCUUUCAAAUGAAAAAAAUUAUCACUGUUUUUGAGCUGUUACAAAAAAACUAUAUAUAAAUAAUGUUUUCAAUUGUUGGCUAGUUUAUAUGACUAUUUCAUCUUGAGUAAUAUGAACAAUUUGAAUAAGACUAUCAUGUAGUUGAGACACCUAACACCACCCUUAACGCUAAGGCAAAAGAAUGGCUCAAUCUCAAAUAUUUCUUUCCAACAAUGUUGACGAGACAAUUUAAUUCUGCUGCGGAGAAAAUGUGUUGGGGAAAUUCGAAUUAGGUAUUGAGAAAUCUAGAUAACAAACAGGAAUCGUGUAAAACACUUUCAUUGUUUGAUACUUUGAUCCUAUAUGCAUUGGAUAUCACGAAAUCCAAACUGGGAUAAUUCCUGAUGUAGCAAUUCUAAUUUUAGGCACAAGAUCAGAAUCAAUUUUUUAGAAGAUGAAGAGAGAGUGUUUUUAGUUUCCUAUGGGACCCCUGACCUGACACAGUAGAUUAGGGUUCAAUACUAACAAUGUUUAGUAAAUACAAGUAUGCACUCCCGCACCUCCUAACUUGUAUUAUAACUAAAACAUCAUUCUUGAAACACUUGUUAAGUCCAUUACACUAAAAUACAUUUGGUGAUAAAAUCACCAUCAAAAUGGACAUUAGAAGUAUAAUUGUUUCUAACUUUUGGGUCUUAGAUAUGUAUAUUGAACAAGUCAAGAGGUGUGUCAUUUCAAAUAUGUAUAUUGAACUCCAUAUUACUUCUGUUUCUAACUUUUGGGUCUUAGAUAUAGUAUGUGGUAUUCUAAUUUACCCUAUUUUAUAGGGGAUUAAGAAGAACUAGGAAGUUGAAGCGUGUAGAGUUGAUUUGAUGUCAAUUUGCCUUUGAUUAGUUGAACCUCUCUAUACCUAAGCUUUUUAUUUUCCAUUAGUGUAUAUAUAUAUAUAUAUAUCAAUGCAAAUGUAAGUAAGAAGUUGAAGCAUGUAUAUUCGAUUUGAUGUUAGUUUGUCUUUGAUUAGGGGAACCUCUCCAUUCCUAAGCUUUUAUUUUCCGUUAGUCUCUAUAUAUCAAUCCAAAUGUGAGUAUCACACACGUUGUUUAAUGAGUCUUAAGAGUUUAUAGUAGAAGCAUUAUGAAGUUUAAACAUAUAUCUAUUUGAAAUUCUACACUCCUUGGCUUUAGUUCAUUUUUUCCAGGUAUUUAGAACAACUACGUUUUCAGUAUCAUUUUUCUACGUUGUAAAAACAUAUUGCCUCAUUAGAAUUGUUUUAAGGAAGUAUCAUAGAGUCAUUUUUUCUAUUUCCUUUGGGAUUUGGGUGAAGUUUACUCUUCUCCUUACAUUUAAGAUGGUUAACAUAGUUUUUUCAAAUUGUUUAUAUUAUAAUUUUGGAUGAUCUAGUUAUAUAAACUGGUCAAUGAGUUGAGGAUAUUAGUUACAUAAAUGGUUUUUCAUGGGUGUUACUAAAUUAUAUUUUUUUCCCUUUAAUUAAAAUAUUUUUAACCUUUUCGGAUCAUUUGUUAACUCUUAACAAUUAUUGUUUGUGUUUCAAUAUUUAUUUUUAAGCAAUCAUGUAACAAUUUAAGAUAAACACAACACACAUGUAAACAACAAGAGUAAUUGGUGGUUGUCGAGGCCAACAAAAAUAAAUACCCUAAAUAUUACAAACUAAAAUAGUAUAUAGUGGUAAGGAGAUCGUAUCCAUGGAGAUUAGUUCAAUUAAUAACUCUAUGAAAAUCUUUUUAUAUAAAUACUUGUGAUUUUUUUUUUUUUUUUUGUCUUUUGAGAUAUUUAAAAGAAAACUAGAGACUAGAGUUACACUGAGAUUUAAAAACACAAUUCAACAAAAAGCAAGGUUUAAUAUAAAAUUAAUUAGAGAAAGAUGGUUGACUUAAGGUUUCAUCACUUGAAUAGUUGGUAAAUAUAUCAUUAGAAUUCGAAGUCUAAUACUUGUCUUAAAUCUCCAAUUUGGUUAUAAUAAUCAAAGAAGCUUGAUAUUACCUAGAUUUUUCUUAGUUAUUAAAGUAGCUAAAGAAGCUCAUAACAUAUUUCUUUAGUUAAAGUCAUAAUUUUCAUUAAGCAUGUAAUUAGUGAAAAUUAACUAGCAUUAAGGACCAAAAAGUAACCAAAUCCAAGAGGAAUCAUAAGCUUCCACUACCAUGUUGGAGAAAAUAUUUUUGUGAUUGUGUGAAGUGAUCCAUUACUUAAUCAAGAAAUUAGCCAAUUAAUCACUACAAAUACAUUUAAAUUCAUGAAUAAAAACAUACAAGUAGCAAGAAGAUGUUAAAAUAUAAAACAUUUUCAUAAAGACUCAAGAAGAAGUUCUUGGAGUUCAUUAAAAUUCAACCAAACAUUCAAUCAAAUUCACCAAAGUCAACCAACAUUUGUUUUGCAUAACAUGGCUAAACUCAAGAAACUAAAAUAAAUGUUAGGGGUACCAAGCAUUUAGCAAGAUUCAAGAGUAAAAAUGAAGAUGUUCUUCAAGUCCUUCAAGUUUUUCAAGGCCUUUAAAGUACAGAGAAAAUGCUCCUAAACUCAGAUCCAAAAGUUGUCCCAAAAGCAUCCCACAAACCAUCCCAAAAUAGCAGUAAAAAAUAAAAUCUCGAAAAUGCCCCUGCAGGUCACACAAGCUACGUGAAUUUUAGCCUAUUUAUUGCACGGGACAUGUAAGCUGGUUAGAAAUGGGACUUUUUUAUUUCUUGGAUUUGAAUUGCAUUAGUCCACCAACCCAAGUUUCUCCAAUAGAUGAUAGGUCCAAGAGUCUUCAAAUCUUCAUAAUUUAACAAGUCCAAACAUUCUCUUUUUUUCUUCCAAUCUUCAUUUGAGACCGAACCCAAUUGGUUGUCAACAAAACACUUUCGAAGUAGCCCACAUCCACAUCUCUCCUUAAAUCAAUAGUCCAAUUGUGUCCAUCAAGUGAUCCGGAAAUGCACUACAAGCUUCAUGUUUUAAGAUCCCAUACUCCCAAAACUACUCCACUUUGAAUAGUCUUUAAUAAAUCUCAAAUAAGUUGAAAAGACUAAAAAGUACCCAAUAAAGAUAUAAAAUAACAAAAAUAGAAAAAAUGCAUGAAGAUUAACUAAAAUGAGAUGAAAUGUGCUAAAAUAAACUAUAAAAAAAAAGUAAACAAAAUGAAACUAUUAGUAGCAUUUUCUUUAACCCUAUGCGUUUUUCAUGUUAGUUUAUUAUUGUGUUCUCCUUUUUCAUAUUUGGAACUCACUUCCCGAGUAUUAAUUUGCUCAAACCUCUACAUUCGGUCAUACUCUUGGAAGUAAGUGGUGAUUUAAGACUGUCAUUGAGUAUUAGUAGAUUGUUCAUGCUGAUUGGACAUAACAUAGAGACUACAACUAACACUCCUGAGUACUUAAUGGAUAUUUAAGUAUAGAACAAACCACACUUAGAUAUUACUUCAUGGAUAAAGUCAUAAGUGAUUCUAAGAUGAUAAUGUCUCUUAUUCUUCAAACAGAGAUACAUGAGAUUUUUACUUUCCAACACUAUCCGUAACUUGUAGUAAUAAAGGUAUGUCGAUGUAUGGCAUGAUGAGUAGACGAAAGUUAUGUAUGGUCCCCUCGAUGAUUUGUUGCUGACAUCUAAAGUGUGACGAGCCUUGACUGAAAUUGUUGUGUUCAAUUUAGUAGUAUAAGGUGGUCGUUACAAAUCUUUAUUGGGAAACAUAAUCAUGAACAUUCGGAUUGACCCUUAUCCAUGUUUAAGGUUUAGACAAUAUCUUGUGAACAAAUGAAUAUAUGAUCACUUAUUUAAGGGCUGAAUCUUAGUUUGAUCAAAGUUUUAUAGUUUCAUUGGAUGGCAUAGUCUAUGUUGAUUAUUUGAGAAGUAUUAGACCUCAUAUAGUUGAUGACUUGUCUAAGUGGGAGACUGUUGGAAAUAGUGUCAAAUAUGAUAACUAUUAAUGAUAUUUCUAAUAAUAACAAAGUCCUUUUGGGUUGCUCUUAAGACCCAUUUAAGUAAUUAAAAGACAAAGUUUUGGGAGAAAUUAGUUUAUUAAUUUGUUAUGUUAUGAUAAAUUAACUAGAAACUAUUUUGGAACAUUCUAGAAAGAUAGGGAUAAGGGACAAAAUUUGAUAAGCCCUAUCAAGGUUUUGGAGUUGCUUUGGCAGUAAGCAAAUGAGAGCCUAUAAAUAAGGAGCUAGAGAUCAAACCCUAGUUACCCAUUCUUACUCCUAGAUUUCGUCCUCCUUUUCCUCCCUCCCAGGUAACGCAAAAUAACCCUUCUAAGGUUUUGUUUUGGCGAUUUUACCUCCCAUCUCCUAGGAUUUGUUGUUUUGCUCUCAUAGUGUUCUUGGGUGUGAUGUCGUUAGAAUGAUUCUAUUAUGGGCCCUCUCAUCCAAGAAAAUGUGGUAAGAACUCGAUCUCAAGCAAGGAGAUCUCUAGCUUCAAAAGAGGUAUGUAAUUUUUAUUACUUUAGUAGUUGCACUAAUAGAAUGAACUUAGAUCCUUAUAUAUUGCAUGAAAACAUAAAAAUUGUUAUAAUAUUCUCAUGCUUAUAAACUUGUGUUAGUAUGCCUAAACUUAUCACAAUUUCAGAAUGGGCCAUCCAAACCAAAUAAAAACAAUUUUUUCUGACAAAAAAAUAAACUUCAAACACAUUCAGGUUUCAAAUUAAAAUUCCGAAGUUCAGAAAAAAUAAAAAAAAAAACUUCAGAAUUUCGAAAACAAGUCUGAAAUCUGAUGAAUAAUUCCGGAAUGAUAAGAAAAAAAUUCCGUUUUUUAUUAAAUCUAAUAAAAAAUUAAACAAACACAAUAAAUGAGAACCAUAUACAAUAUUAUGAAUCAAACAUUGAUUGAAAAAAAAUACUAAUAUUAUUUUCGAAAUGAAUAUUUUGGACAUAAGUAGAUAGAUUUCUUUGAUUUUUUUUCUUAAGACAAAAAGAAUUUCAGAAUUUGAAAAACAGUCCAAAUGAGAUAUUAAAAAAAAAAAAAAAAAAAUUAUUUUAUUUAAAUAUGGCUAUUUAAAAUGGUUAAUGUAAUGAAUUUGCUAUUAUUAAGGAAAAAAAAAACGCUGCUAGAUACAGUCCCAACGUUGACACAGGCUCACUUUAAACACUACAAUUUCUCGGGUUAUAUUUACUUGUCCGAGGUUCUUGAUUUUUCCAUCAAGGACCAUUUUAGAAACGCAAUUUCAGAAAGGAAAAAAGAUCAAAAAACUAAACGCAACCCGUUUUCUGGAAUCAAACGCCAUCACCUAAAAUCUCACACUUUCAUCUUGAAACCCACUAAUAAGCUUCGAUUCUUUGCAGAGGGUAACGUAAAUCACUAUGCAGGGUUUAAAGAAGGGUUCCUCUCUUACAAGGCCUUUCUCAAUUCAUCAUAUCAAACGAAUGUUUUCGAAUUCAUUGUCCGCUCUUGAAGAUACUUUCUUAUCAACCAAGGUAUUUUAAAUGAUUCUGGUUUUCAUCCAAUUUCGUCGUUUGUGAUUACGCAGCAAUUAGGGCUUCUUACCUAUAUCUCCCCUCUUUUUUCCCCUUUCAUUGAUGAUCUUCAUUUUGAUAGGAUACAUAUGAGAGGCAUAAAGUUGUGUUUACAUUACUAACUUCCAUAGCAUCUAUUGGCACUGCUUGGACUGGUAUGUUUAGCUUACUUUACUUCAAUGUCGAAUUGAUCGACCUAUAUUCAUAACUUUUUCUGGAAGAAAUCUCCUGACUACAUCUGUGUCAUACUAAAUGUUAUAAAUAGCAUACUUUUGUUCCUGAAAUUGAAGAAGAAUCCAUAAGAAUACGAGAAUUAGGUUUAAGUAUAUGGAUUUGUGUAAGUUUUGCGACAUCAAACACCAUAAAAUUAACUCGAAUUACAGAAUAAGAUGCUUCUAUAAUCACUAGAUUAUGUUUGUAUCAAAUUUAACUUAAAAAUGUGAAUUUUUUUUUCAGGCUAUACGCUACGCCACCUUCAUGAAACAAAAGUUGAACAAAGGCUUGACUCAAUCGAAAAUGCUGUUAGUAUUAACAAUAAAAUUGAAACAAUGUAUAAAAUAUAUAAAAUAUAAUAAUAAGAUAGUGUUUAUACUUUAUACGUUUUUUUGUAGAUGAAAAGAAAUUAUGACCUUGAUGGAAAGGAAUUCAAAAAGAUGGUUGGAAACGGUAAUUCCAAUGCUGCAGCUUGUGUGGCCACAUCAGGUGUCACUUUGGUAAUCGGGUUUGUAAAAUAGUCUUUCUUCAAAACUUUUGUUGUUUUUAUAAAAUUUACCACAUCACACCUUGUAAUUGAACGAAAUUACGAAAAUAGUCCCUGUGGUUUUUUCAGGUAUGGGUUGGGUUGGAGAGGUGGGAGGUGGUAUGCAAACCGUAAAUUCAAAAGGGAACAGAUGAAGCUUUUGGGUCAAGUUAAACCAAAGAAAUGGCAAUUGAAGAAAAUUUUGGGUCGAUUGAGGAAGUCAAAUACUGCGGUCAAAGCAUCAGUCAAAGCAUCGGAAAGCGCGAUUCCGGUUGCACAUAAUGCUGCUUGAAAAGGGAAUGAUCAAUGAUGUAGAUUCAAGUGGAAUGGAAUCAGUUUUGAGAUAGAUAUACAUUUUUAGAGAGAGGUGAUAUAGUGUGGAGUUUUAUUACUACUAUUAACCUUGAAAUAAAGGUUUUAAUUUGUUUACACAAUUUCUUUAUGAAAUUAAUUGAUAUAGAAAAAAAAAAUCCUAAAUUUAUCAACUUCGGGUUUCCUUCUCUUUAAUGUUUGUUUUUUUGUCAGUUUUUAUUACAUAUAUAAAGAAGGAUAAACGAUAAUAAUAUACACAAAAUACAAGAUGGUAGAUGACUUUUUUUUUUUUUUAAAUUUGUGGGCCUUAACAAAUUGCAAUUGAAGGUUUUAGUAGAAUUAAAAUGCUAGCUUUUGUUGUUUAGUGAACAUUUGAAAAUUGAAAACAAAUAAAUAAAUAAAUAAAAAGUGUUAUCAGAGUUGAAAAAAGAGCAAGAGAAAAUCAUGGUAAUAUUUAUAGAAUGCUAAUUUCUCACUGGUAAAAAUAAAAAUUCCGACUAUAAAAAAACACAGAUGACAGAUGACAUAAUCAGAGAAAUUUUCCUUUGAUUAUAGUACAACAUGAGGGGUAUAUACAAUGGAGCAAAAAAAAAAAAAAAAAAAAAAANAAAUUAAAAAAAAAAAAAAAAAAAACAAACUAAAAUGUUAUAUUUUCCAUUCUCCACAAGCAUUCUUUCCGUAGGGGCGAAUCCGUAAAUAUGGCUCUGAUAAAAUCCCUCAUCUGCAACAUAUAUACAAAUAAUAAUAACUAAAUAAAAAUUGAAAGGUUUAGUUUAUAAGUGUUAUUAAGUAAAAGAUUUAAUAAUAAUAAUAAUAAUAAUAAUAAUAAUAGUAAUAAUAAUAAUACCUCAGAUGAAGUAUAACCACACUUUGCCAGCUCACCACUUUCCCAUGAUGCAGUAAUGGACUUCAAAGGCAUGUCCAACAUAUCUGUUCAUAUUUUUUAAAAUGAUAAUAUAAAAUCAUUAACUCCAAUUUGGUUGGAAUUGGAUGGAAUGGAAUGGAAUAAGUAGUUACAUUCCAUGAUCAUGUUAUUGGAAUGGAUUUUUUUAUUGUUAUAUUGAUUUCCAAUAUAUAUAAGUUUUAACUCUGCUUUUUAAGGAUAUUAGUUAUAAUUAAUAAAUUUUUAUUCCUUGCUAAAACCCAAAUAAGAUUUAUAACAAAAAAGUAUAUUAUAUUUUCUAGUUUUUUUUUUAGAGAAUAAAAUUGCUAUUUGAUUAAAACCAUGAUUUUUUUUUUCAGACAUUACAAAUUAAAUAAAUACAAAGUUGGGUUAUAUUGUGAAAUUUCAUUCCGUUCCACUUAAUUCCAUGAUGGGAAUGAAAAACAAAAGCGGAUUGACUCCAUUGGAAUGAACAAUUCCAUUCCGUCUCAGAUUUCAUCACAAACACUAGCUAAAGUAAAAGAUGCCUAGUGACACCAAUUUAAAUAAUUAAAAAAAAAAAAAAAAAACAUACCUGCUAAUAUCCGUAGUCUAGGGAGUGAUGGAAUUAGAUCAUUAAUAGAGCCUGAUGACUUCUCUUGUGGCUUUGUUGUUUGAUUGAUGGCAAUCAAAGAUUCCAUUAAAGAAGAAAGGUUUUCCAGCAGCAUAUGAAUCAACCUUUGAAGCUGAAAAAAACAAUAACGUAUUUAUGUGGAAGGAAUGGAAUCUGUGAAUGGAGUUGAACUCCAGGGGAAUCGGAAUCGGAAGAAAUUGUAAUCAAACAUCAACUCCAAACAAAUCUAACAAGAACCAAAACUCCGUCCAUUUGGCAUACAAACACGACACAGAAUGGAAUCACCGAUUCCGAUUCCGUCGGAAUCACGGAUUCCGAUCACACUCUAAUAGAUAUUACAAAGAAAGGUUUUACAAAAUGAACCUGUAAUGUUUCUUCAGCUGCAAUGUCAUCUAACAUGAGUAUAUCUUUUGUCAUUCUAGAACAAACAGCCUCCACAACACUACACAUACUUCCUUUGUAUGUCAAAGGAAGCAAAAGUGGCUCCCAUAUUAUGUGAACUUUCUCCAGUAUAAAAGCCACCUGAUCAAUACUAAAUUUUGCAGAUUCACAUCUUUUUGGUUGAUGCGUAUUUUGAAAUCCAUCAGCCCCAUCAAUCGCCUAAAAAAUUCAAAUUUUAUUAUUUAAGAGCAAAAAAAAAAAAAAAAACAAGAUUUGAAUUUGAAUUUUGAAAGAUAAAAAUAAAUUUACCUCCAUUAAAUUAUGUUUAACAAGCUGUAUCUGUCUUUGUAAUAUCUCUUCUGCCAUAAUCUUGUAUCUUACACCCAAAUCAAUAAACACAGCUCCCUUCAUGGAAAUUGGGAAAUCCGACUUAUACUGAAAUAAUAAAAUGGAAAUAUAUUUAUUUACCACUUCAAAAAAUAAUAAGUUAAACAAAAUUAAGUUAUCUUUAUUUAAUAAUCAUACCUCAAAAGCAAGGCCAAGAAUCUCUUGUGAAAGAUAAAGACAAUCAUUAUGAAUAAGAACAGCAACCUGGUUGAUUCCAUCCAGCUGUCUUUCUAACUUCAUAACACAAAAUGAAAUAUUAUAAGGCCAAAAUAAUACCAUAAAUACACACAUUUUCAUUUUCUUCAAAAUAAUUACAAACCUUGACUGGAAUAACAGCUUCAUAAAGAAGUAGAGCAUCCCUAGCAGCAUGGUAGAAUUCUAAAGCCACUGUUGCAGAUGAUAAACAAACAUCCUGCACAUAAUACACCAAUGUACUUUUGAGAGAAAACUGAAAAAGUAACUUUUUUUUUAUAUAUAUAUUAUUCAACUAAGUAAUAUUUUAUUUAACCUUUAGUGUUUCAUGGACAACUUCCAUUAAACGAGAAGCUGCUUCAGAAAUGACACAUUUUUCAGAGGAAAAAAGUAAGUCUGUGUUUCCACCAUUUUUAAGCUCUGUAUUUUUCCUUGAAUAGUCCUGUGAAAGAACUGUCAUUCAAUCAAUGUUUAUACAGUUGAUGAAGAACAGAAAAGGGUGUAUGGAAAAAGUUUAGGGAGCUUACUUUAGGAAGAUUAAAAUCUGAAUGUAGAAGAAGGUCUCUUGCUGAUGCUAAAAUCUCAAUCUUUUUCCUCAUUGCAAAGUGAACUUCAACAUUGUCAGCAAAAUUAGUCAACCUUUCAUCUUUCCCAGGGGAGAUGAACAUAACUUGUUUAAGAGAUGCCUCAAAGUCAGAUGUGAGUUGUCUUGUUGUUUGAAAGUCAGCAAGUUUGGAAGCAUCAGUGGGAACAAUCUAGCAUCACAUAAUGCAAAUCAAUUAUCUAACAUAUGAUGGUUUUGUUGUUUAAGAAGAAAUAUAAAAAGUAGUCAAUUAGAUUGAUUCUUAUGAGUUGUGAAAAGUCAUAACAUUUAUGUAAAAAGGAACGAACCUUGGAAAGGAAAUUAGAGAUAAUCAAUUCUGACAUUCGGGGCCAUGUUAAUCUUCCAAAGUAUCGCAUCCAGGAAGAAUCUUGAAAGCAGAUAAAGUUGAAAAUGAAUUGAAUCACAACAUUAAUUCCAGAAUAGAUAGUUUCAGCAUCCAUGUUCUCAAUCUGCAUGCAUAAAGGAUUAAGACACUAUAAGAAGUUAAUCUAAUAAUACUUUUUGUUAUUAGUGUUAUGCAUAAGAUAAAUAAAGAAAUGAAAUAUCCAAUGCCACUUUAUAAAUACCUGAGAAUCAGAAGGUGGGGUUAUUCUCAAAACUACCUCAGCUAUAUAUCCUGAAUCUAGUCUUUUUUCUUCUACAGAAAAACUAUGAGAACCAGAGCGCACUGCAGGUGCUAUCACAUGUCUGGUCAUCAUGUCUGCUACUUUUGCAAGCCCAUAAUCUAGAAUACCAACUACCUGCACAAGAAAAGAGAAGAAGAAAGCCUUUCAAUUUCAACUUGAUCUGCAUAUGAUGAUUAGAAAGAGAGGAACUCAAAAAUUUCUUUCUCUGUUGUUAUCAGAGGUUAAUUAACCCAAAGUUUUAGUAGAAUCAAUAUGCUUAUAAGAACUUAUCUUAUGAUUGUUCACCAACAAAAUCAAAUAAAGAGGAGAAGCUGAAAGCAUUUAAACUUACAUGCAUUGCUUUCACAACAGUACAAAGCUCAACCCCUUGAUUGUCAUUCAUAGCCAUUCUAUUUUUGACAUAAACUACAUUGGACUGCUGAUCGAAUCUCACUGCAUUCUCCAUGAACUUCACUAGCACAUUUUGUAUCUACAAACGCAAAUUCAGCUCCGGUUAACACACCACGAACUCAAGAAAGGCAAAUACUCAAUUAUGUCAUAAUUCUUAAAGAUAAUCAUCAUCUAACAUCAUAUGUUGCGAAAUAAGGAAACGUAUUGUGCCAAAUAAACGUCAGGAUUUAUCAAUUCAGUUUUUUUUCUAGCUCUACACAUGAAAAAUAAUACAAUUUCUACCUCUUCGAAGCAAUCUGUCCAUUUCUUCCUUAACAAACCAAAUACCAAUGGCUCUCUUUCUUCCCGGAGAUCCUCCACAUUAUCUCUAACUCGUAAAGCCACUUUCAAGUCUGUAAGAGCCUCUGCAGCCUCAACGACCUUUCCCGCCAUCAAAUCACUCUCCACAACACUCAACUCUUGGCUCAAUUUCAACACUACCUUAACUAAAUCUAGCGCUUCCUUCUUCUCUUUCGAUUCAACACGUUUCCUCCUAAUCUCAUCGACUGUUUCUUUGAUUUUCAGAUCGAUCGGUUGAAGAUUCGAUGAUAACAGACCAACAAGGUUAGAUACUUGAUCGGAUAGUUGCUCGGAAUUAAUAACAGCGUCGGAGCAGCGAGAGAAUAGGGCAGAGAAGUCAUCAUUGUUAGCGAGUAUGUAAUUGUGGACUUUGGACUUAAUGUCGAGUGAACGGACUUGGAGACGGUCGAUGAGGAGGCGGAGAUCGGGGGCGGAGAGCGGUGAAGAGUCGUCUAGAUCAUGUGACGAUAACAAAUCCCGGACGUCGAUUGAAUUGAAGAGUACAUCCAUCUGGAGGAGCACAGUGGUUCCCCGACGGGUGCCGGUGGUGUUGGUAGAAGGUUGUCUUUGCGUGGAGAUCAGGAAAGCAUACAAGUGUAGAAUUAGAGCCCAACCAAUUGGGCUUUUGUUAGUGGUAAUGGGCUGUAAGUAUUUAUAUUUGUUGAUUUAAAACUUAAAUUAGUGUAAUUUUAUAUAUCUUAUCUUAUAUUAUAUUAUAGGAAAUUGCGUAAGAUGGUUAACUAUCGGAUAGCAACACUCGCUCCAACACACAACUCUUUCUCCAUCAUCACUACAUGUAAUAUGGUGCGGGGAAAAUAUAUCCAACAAACGUUAAAUGACCGUUUUAACAUACAUAUUUCAUACGAGCAAACAUGAAGUGCACAAAUGUACGCUUUGAAUUUGUUGAGAAAUAUCCUUAAAGAAAGCUUUCAAAGACUUUUUUUGUAUUAUUACAAGUUGGAGAGGAAGAAUCCAAGGACUGUUACACAUAUAAAGAUAUGACAUGACAACAAAUUUUAAUAUUUUUUCCGUCGCUAUCGGUUGCGUGAUAAUAUUUCUUAUAUAAUCUAUUAAAUAUACGUGUAUUGGAUUGUAUGACUAAUCUAUUGAAUUAUUGUGUAGGUUUGAGCAUUUCAAAUAUGUUUAUGUCCUAUUAUUAUCAUUAACAGAACAUAUCUUAAAGGAAAAUACUUGGACAAUGUUCCUAGCAGUAGUCAUGGACAGUAAUAACUAAAUCCUCCCAAUAGCAUUUGGUGUUGGAAAAACUGAAAGUGGGGAUUCAUGGAUAUGAUUUAUAUCAAGACUCAAAGAAUGUAUUUAGGACAUGGAGCCUUUAGUUAUCAUAUCUGAUAGAGCCAAUUCCAUUGAAAUGAUAAAUCGUGUUUCCGAACACAAAUAACAGACUAUACUGUUGCCAUUUAUUGAUGAAUAUGAGAACAAAGAUCGGUAUAGUCAUCUUGGAAUCUCAUUCUUGUACAUGUGGGAAAUGGAAAUUGUCUGGUAUACCUUGUUCUUAUGCUAUGGCAAUAUUUAGGUAGUAUUUGGUACGCAGAACAAAAUUGGACUGAACUAAACAACACCUGUUCAAAUGAUGUUUGGCAUGGAUUGAACAAAAAGUCAAUGGGACAAAAACUUUGGUCAAUGAGACUAAAAUUGGUAAAUUUAGUCCCACCCAAAAAGUGGAACUGAGUGGGACAAAACAAAAUAUCCUUACUAAAACUAAAAUGCACUCUUCUUCUGUUCUCUUCUACCGUUCUUGUGCAAAUCCUUAAGAUCGAUAAUUUCACCCAUUGCCUCUUUCAAUCAAUCCCUUGUUGGUUGUACAUAUAAAUUUUCUUUCAACUCACCCUGUAUAAUUUAGACUUCUUCUUGGUCGUGAUUUACAUGAUUUUGGAUCCUUCAUUCUCUCUUCAAAAUCCAACAUCUUCUCGGCACAUGCUCUAUCCACAAGUUCACCUGGUACAUAAGAGAGCUGUUAAUCCAUCAAUUUCUUUCUAGGAAAUCUCGAAGCAUUUCUUUUCCCUCGAAUUUUCGUGCUUAAUUGUUCUAGAAAGUGGAUACUUGAUUGGAAUCUAUUCCAAAGGGAGAUGAUGUCCUAAAUUUAGAUUUAAGUUUUAAAAAGGGAAAGUAAGUUUUUAGAAGUAAAUAUGUUAAGAUGAAAAAGAAAGACGAUUUGUUUUUUUUUUUUUUUUUUUUUAAAAAUUUUCCAGUCACCUACUUAAUUCACACAUUGUUUUGUGAUUUAUUGAUAAAAUCACAGUAGCUUCUGCAAUUUGUUGUUAAAUCAUUCACACGUGUUGCAAUUGUAUGGUAUUUUUUUUCUUUCAAUUUGGGAUGUGGUGUUUUAUUGACAACUCACUCUUGUUUAAUAUAAACAUUUUAUAUAUUAUAGUUCACAGUUUGAUAUAUAUUUUUCUUUGAAUAAAGGUUUUAUUGGAUUUAUUUUAUCUUUGAUUGAAACAAUUCAAUGAAACAUUCAUGUUGAAUUAGCAAAGGAACAAACCCCACAUAAAAGUCACGAUUGAAACUUUUAUCAGCUUAAAUUUGGUUUUAUUUAAAUCAAGGGCAAUAUGAUAAUUUUAAUAUCUUUGUUCUGUUCUGUUAUAGUUUUACCAAAUGUUAUGUGGACUAUUUAUUAUGUUCGGUUCCAGUUCUCUCCCGUCCAGUCUACUUUUGUCCCACUACCAAACACUGCCUUAAGGAACUGAGAUAUGAGAUAUAAACACUGGUGUUUAAUUAUUAUACUAGUUUUUUUAGAGUAAAUUACACGAAUGGUCCCUAUGGUUUGGGGUAAUUUGCAUGUUUGGUCCCUAACUUAUUUUUUUAACUCGGAAGGUCCCUAUGGUUUGUUUUUGUUACGCGUUUGGUCCCUACUGUUUAUUUUUGUUACGCGUUUAGUCCCUGUAUUAUCUAAAAAGACUAUUAUUUAAAGAGAAAAAAAAUGAUGGGGUAGGUGAGGUAAUGUGAGGGGGUGGGAUUAGGGGUGUGUUUAUUUAAAUAAAUUAAAAAAAUCAAGGGCAUAAUAGUCUUUUUAGGUAAGAUAGGGGCCAACCGCGUAAUAAAAACAAACAGUAGGGACCUUCCGAGUUAAAAAAAUAAGUUAGGGACCAAACAUGCAAAUUACCCUAAACCAUAGGGACCAUUCGUGUAAUUUACUCUUUUUUUUAAUUAUAAUGUAAAGACCCAAAUUUUUUAAAAGAAAAUUUUCAUUUUUAAUUAGUCAAACACAUUUGCAUAAACCAUGAAACCCCAAACAUUGUUUUCAAAUCCACAUUCAUUACAACUUUAUUUAAAAACAUUAGUGUCCCGUAACGUAUCAAUGAGAGAGAGAGAGAGUGUGCACGUCGUGCCAUCACGCGUUGCCUUUGCUCUUGGGAUCUGAAGUACCUGAAACAAAUCCACAACCUGUAAGCUAAAUGCUUAAUGAGUCCCCAGAGCAUACCCACACAUAAACCACAUACAAGAUAGCAUACUAGCUAUCACAUAAAUCAUGCAUACAACAUAUAAAGAAGCCCUGGAAACCCUCUCGGGUCUUACAACUAGUGUCAUGGGAACCCUCACGUGGUCUUAGUCUACUGCUACGGGAACCCCCGGGGUCUUCCAUACAAAUUUCAUACUAACAUAACACAUCAUCAAUCGACAAUCCACAUAUCAUAGAAUGGGUCGGCCUUGGUGCCUUAGACCCAUUGGUAUGGUGAGGAGACUCACCUCUCGAAAGUUGAACUAGUAAGAUGAAGUCAAAUAUAUACCACACACUGCUCCUUCUCAAUUACCUAUAAUCAUCAAGUGAUUAACUUAACACCAUCCCAUAAAUAUUCUCAGAUCAACCCUGGUCAAAGUCAAGGUCAAGGUCAAAGUACACAGUCUAGGUCAACAGUCCAUGUUGACCUCGACUCGUCGAGUAUAACCAACCACUCAUUGAGUUCCUUGCUUAACUCGUCAAUCGAGUUCCUUAAUGUCCGCGACUUCAAACUCUCAACCACAAACCCCUGGCCGUAAACUCUUUGGCCAUAAACUCCUUGGCCGCAAACUCAUUGGCCGUAAACUCCUUGGCCAACUCGUCGAGUCGAUUAAAGGACUCGACGAGUUCCUUUAGUGCUUCUCGUUUUCGGCAUUUUCUAGUGGAACCUAGAGUCCCAAACUUCAAAUCUAGCCUUCCCUAGUGUAGAUGUCACGUAAAGUUGUAAAAUUUAUGUGCAUGCAAGGCCUCACAUGGACAUGACACCAAAACUAGUCUUCAUAUAAGGUUUUAAUGCACGGAAAGGGAUUGAAUUACCUAAAGGAAACAACUUUAUGUCAUUGGGACCUAAAGAGGUCCAGAUCUGUAACCAUGUCCUUGUGAAAGGUUGAGAUCUGAGUUUUGACCCCAUUUUGCACCAAAAAUGGUCAUUUAUUACAAAAAGAAGAGAACCAAGCAACUAGAUAUCAAGAUGGCGACUUUUUACCUUAGGAUGAUGGCCAAUACAGAGUAACUUCCAAAUCUACUGCUCCUCACGUUGUUCCUUCCUCUUCCAACUCUAGGAUCCUUCAAAAAUGCCCUAAAAUCACUCACAAACGCUCUUACUCUCACUCAAGGGUGUUUACAGUCGAAAACUACUUUCUGUAGGGAGAUAAGGUGCUAGAGGAGGCCACAAGGGUAGUUAAUGAUCCUUGUAUAGGGGGAAAACCCCGAAAUUAGGGUUUUCCCUUUACAUCCAACUCGCUGAGUCGGGCCUUCCGACUCGUCGAGUUUAAAUGCCCCUACUCGAUGAGUUGGACUCCCAACUCACCGAGUCUAUGCACCAAAAACCCUAAAUUUAACUAAAACAAAUAAUACCUGGAACAUGUGUUCAAAGUCGCCCCCACUUAAACUAGACUUCGUCCUCAAAGUCUGCUGACCCAAACAAAUCUAGGUAGUGCUCUCGCAUUUCCUCUUCCAGCUCCGAAGUCCAUUCGGAGCCCCUUCGAUGAUGCCAUUGCAACUUUAUCAGUCUUACUUCCUUAUUCCGAAGAACCUUGGUCUUCAUAUCAAGGAUCGCAAUGGGCUUCUCGAUAUAGUUCAGGCUCUCAUCCACUUGAAUAUCGCCCAAUGAAAUAACUACGGACUCGCCAAUGACACACUUCUGAAGAUGUGACACGUGGAAGGUAUUGUGAAUCUGACUAAGCUCCUCUCACAGAUCCAAGCGAUAUGCCACCUUGCCCACCCGGGCCGUGAUCCUGAACAGGCCUAUGAACCGAGGCCCCAGCUUGCCCCUCUUGUACCACCCAUAAAAUUAGUGCUAAUCUAAAAAUUUUAAAUCAUUUAAAAUCAUUCAAUUAUUACUAUUAGUUUUCAAAAUAGUUUAAACAUCAGAGUUCCCAAAAAUCAUAAUCAUCGAUAGAGGAAGUGUACGGUCACACCUUCGCUUCCCUGCGGUCAUCCGCUGAACUUGAAACAAUAAACUAAAACUGUAAGACCGAAAACUUAGUGAGUUACUGUCACAACUGGCAUUUUGCUAGGAAAUUCUAUUCCCAUAUAAACAUCAUCCAUUGUAAAAGGCUAUACUUACUAAACUCUAUUCUCAUUCAAAUACAUCUCAUAUGUUCAACUAAGGGAUGGAAACCCUAGAAAUCCCGACUCAAAUUCAUUAUGGACUAGGAUUCUUUUAUUGGGCCUAAGGGACCAAUAAGUCAUCAACUCAUCAAUCUAUAACAUUUUGGGCCAUUUGGGCCUAGAAUGAUUCAUUCUACCUCUAAAUGGGCCUUAUUGGUCCAUAACAACUCCAAUUAACCUUAAUGGACUUUAGAACCCAUUCUUUUAUACUAUUGGGCCGUGAGAUACCCUAAAGGCCCAAUGGGUCGAAAGAUGUUAUGAUUAGGCUCCAAAAAUCCUAACUAAAGUUUAAUGGGCUCAAGCUAUUCCAAUUCCUAUCUUAUUGGCCCAAAAUUUCGGCCCAACACCAUUUAACAAAAAAAAGGAAAACAAAAUGAAAUAGGGGUUGACUUUUGGAUGUGCCACCUCAAUAUUGCAUGGUGGUCAUCCAUGCCAAAUACCCACCAUGCAAACUUAUCAAAUAUCUCUAUUAUAUUCUCUCUAUUCACGGCCAAACACUCAUCCCACCAUCCUCAUUUUUCUUUUAAACACUCUCAUACACUCUCAAGAACAUCCUUUCCUUCCACCCAAAAUUUCGAAGAUCUAGGGUGUUUUCAAGAGAAUUCUUCACCAAAAUCAUCAUCCUUGGUAAGUUUUUGCUUAGAUCCAUGGUCUAGUCUCUUGAUUACUUCAAAAAUCUCCUCUUAACUCAUGAAAUUUCGUGAUCUUGCAUCUUGGAACCCAUCUAAGCUCAAAAACCUCUCAAGAAGCUUGCUAGGGCCAAGAAUCACAUCAUCUUCUUCCAUUUCUUCUUCAAACCAAGAACAACAAAGCAAGGUGAGUUCAUACCCCCUUGUUUUCGGUUUUUACUUGUUUUUGGGGGAGAAUACAANCAAGGUGAGUUCAUACCCCUUGUUUUCUGUUUUUAUAUGAUUUUUGGGGGAGAAUACAAGUUGAUUUGUGUAGAUCUAUGUGUAUAUGCAUGACUAUGUGUGUUUUCCAUGAAUUAUUUGGUGAUUAUGUGUUGAUUUCUUCACUAAUCUAAAAAUAUGUUAAGAAACUUGAAGUUUAUCACUAGGAUCUUCAUAUGAAUCUUGAGAAAAGUAUGUUUUAUCACAAGUAUUACAUGUAAACAUGUAGAUCUGGGAUUUGUAUACUUGAUAUAGCAAAAAUAAGUGUUGUGUUCAAAGAUCUAUAAACUAAACUCACAAAACAGCCCUUGACAGAAAACUUUUGGUCCAAUCUCGGACUGUUUUGACCAUCCAAAUGGAAGUAUUUUUCAAAAAUGUUUUACAUGGAUAAAGUUCAGAUUUAUACCUUUAAAAUGACUACUCUCACGUUUUCAUACGAUUUUUCUACAAUUUUUGGCGAAUUUUACAAAACUGCCUAUCAUAUUUGAAAUAAUUUCGGACCAACCUGUGAAGAUGAGUAAUUUCACACUAGUUUGAAGCCAUCAAAAAUUAUGAGAAAAAUUGUGAACAAAGUAGACAAAAUUUCCAAACUUCCAAAAUUUACGGAUCCAGAUUUCGACUUACGAUGAAUUUUCUACAAAUUUUCUAAAAACUAGUUCGGAAAAGCCAAAAACCAGAAAAAUAUGUAUUUUCACAAAACCAAGCCAAAAAUGAUAUUUUUGACAAAAAUGGGUUUAAAAUGCUAUUUUUAUCACAAAGUAGUCAUCAACACAAGUUUUUAACAAAAUUGGAGAUUAAAGUGUUAUUCUUACAAAAAUUGGGCCUUAAUUGUAAAUUUUUGGCUUAUUGGGCCAAGAAUGUCAUUUUUACAAAAAGUGGGCUUUAGAUAUCAAUUAUGUAAAUAAUCAAGCUAAAAUAAACAAAACAAUAACAAACGGGUUAAAAACGACAUUCAUAUCCUUAUUGGGCCUGGAAAUAAUAUACAUGUUUAGUGGGCCUUAGUGUCCUUUUACAUGUAUAUUGGGCUCGAGAUAGGUAUUCAUAUCCUUAUUGGGCCUGGAAAUAAUAUACUUGUUUAGUGGGCCUUAGUGUCCUUUUACAUGUAUAUUGGGCUUAGGAUAGACAUUCACAUUCCUUUUGAGCCUGGAAAUAAUAGACACGUAUAGUGGGCCUUAGUGGUCCACUUACAUGUUUAUUGGGCCUAGGAAUGGGUUUUAUAUGCGUUAUUCUUUUUAUGCUAUUUUAGUGGAUACUAUUUGCAUGCUAUUUGGGCCUAUAAAUACCUUACAUGUGAAAUGGGCCUUAGUUGUCCUUUCACAUAUAUUUUGGGCCCAUGUUAUAUAAUCUCAUUCCCUUUAGGUCUUGAAAUGAUUUACAUGUUUAGUGAUGCCUUAGUGGUUCACUUACAUGGAUCAUUGGACCUAGAAUGAGUUUAUACAUUUUUCUUCGCGUAAAUUCGAUUAAGGAUCUAGCGAGUUUUUAUCGGUUGGCACCUAUUAAGUGUACGAUCGUAGCCUGUAGUUAUAACCAGAGUCUCUUGAAGGGAGAGCGGGGAUUUGUGUAUAGAUCUAUACGGGGAUGACACCCCACACCUGAGCUGUUCGCUACAGUUAGACUAACUCAGUCUAGGGUGACAAAAACCUUAUUCUAUAUUCCGUCGGCGUCCAACGAUGCCAAGACAGGUGAAAUUGUCAUAAAUUAGUAUGGUUAUGAUGGCUCGCUUAGAGGAAUUAACGUUAUGAAGUUUACGGAAGACCUUUCUAUAUAGGCAACAUCGGGUUGUCUAGGAACAUUCUCGUUACAUGCUCUUACAUUCUCUCUCUACAAUCUAUUUACCUUUUUAGUCAGAUAACAAUAACAUACAUGCAUUAAUACAAGAUCUAACACAAACACACUAAACAGUUUUCAGAAAAUAUCGGAUUUUCUGGUGGUUUUCAAAGUUAUACAAAUCAUUUUCACAAACAUGCUUAUGAACUCACCAACAUUUUUAUGUUGACCAUUUUCAAAAUAACUUGUAUUCUCAGGAAAUCGUUGAAGCGGGAUGAACAAAACAAACUAAUGGAUAUUGUGUUAUAUUUUGAUUCAUCAUACUCUUACUAUCUUGGCAUGUAAUAUUCAAAUAGAAUACUCGAUGUAAACAAUGAAUGUUGUAAUAUUACAUGUGUGAUGAUGAUGAUGUUAUGUUUCAAUUAUAUUCACUGUAAUGAUAUUUCAAGAUGAAGUCACGCACAAGCCCCCGGACGUUUCCACCGUCUGGUUCGGGGGUGUGACAGAUUGGUAUCAGAGCAUUGUUUAUAGUGAACUAGCAUAUCUAAUCAUACAUGAUAUGCAACUAUAAAUAAAAUGGGACUAAACAACUCUGAACAUAAUAAUUUCAAAUACAUACCUUUGUGUGCAUUUUAGAAUGAUAACACAACAAGAAUAGUAAAAGUCUUUGGAGGAUUUGAACAUCACUAUUAAACUCGGACAGUUAUGUAGUCGUAUUGGGGGUGAAUGUAACCGGAUCAACUACAUUCAUUCAAAAUACGACCAACAUGUGUUCGGGAGUAAUUGUGAUGGGCAAUGAAUCAAAAACUUACCAUUUAAUUAUCCAAAGAGCUUAUAGAGCCAAACCUAAACAAAAUUAAAUUACUAUAGGAGUAAUUGGUAUGCUAAUUGUUUCUAGUAUUUAUACCCCCUUCGUGCAAUACACUAUAGACGAGUAUCGUUAGCCAGGAAACCCCUAUCUCCCUAGUCAGGGAAUAGUAGGGUGGCUCGACUCAGAGGAGGAACCACAGGAGGAACACGAAGUAGAACUUGCAGGUGAACCCGCCGAGUCAAUAGUGGACCUCGAAGAGGAAGAGCCAGAGGGCAAUGAUGAUGAUGAAUCAGAUACAAAAUCUGAUGACAUCAAUCCUCCAUGUAAAGCCAGAGUACCGACAUAUCGUGUGGGUCCCGGUGGCCCCAUGCCCCUUAGGCACAUGAUAUUUAGAGAUAGAGUCACCAGCAGGGGAUACGACCACACUACGGUAGGAACUGAGGUCUCUUCGAUCUUAGUCGUAGAGGACCAGCUGACCGGGCCCUCCCAGUCAUGGUCCGGAGCACCUGAGGUAUGGAUAGCCAAGCUCAGGGACACCCCAAAUCAUCCGGAACAAAUGCGGUUUGCUAUUGAGAGAGACAAGAGACAAACAAAGGAAGUGAACGGAGACUCCCGAGCAAGACAGUUAGUGUGAGAAGUAAGACUACAAGAUACCGAACAACAAGUAGCUCAUCUCCGAGGAGCAUCCACUUCAUCAGCACCACCACCAGACACUUCCUGCCACAAUUAGGAUCAGCCUUUUCUACUUCCCCCUACUAUUCGACAUGACUCUCUUUCAUGUACUAAGAUAGUACUUACCACUGGAACAAUUAUGUGCUAUCUUUAUUUCAUAUUACCACAUAGACUCAAUUAUAUGCACAAGCGAACCCUCAAAACCGCUAGAUACUUAAGGGUCUCGAAACCAAAACAACCUAUAUACUCUAAGGAUAGACGUGACGAUCGUGCCAAAUCUGUGAUUACCUACUACCACAAAUACAUCAUAGGGAUGUAGAUGGAAGCAGUAAGAAUUAUACAACAAGAUGCAAAAUUUAUAGAGUACAACUAGGAAUGACGAUCAUUACUUACGAUCUGGAUUAUCAACGUGCAUCAGGAAAAUGCCAUCCCGCAAGAAUAACAAGCGCACCUGCGAGACACCGUUCCUGCAGAUGAACUCUGCUACAUUCCAAGCUGCUGUAACGGCGACAGUAACCGUUGCGAUGGCGCAAAUCAAUGCAAACAACCCCAAUGGAGGCGGGAAUAACAUUGACAACUCCAUCCAAAGGAACGAACAUGGAAACCAACAAGUGACAACCAAUCAAGGAACUCCAAACCCCAAGCUUAAGAGCAGGAAGCUGAGGUCUGGAAGUAAGAAAAAGGGACAACCCACUCAAGGGUUCUCAAGGAAGCAACAUGUUGUUGCUGUUCAUGCGACCAUGACCCCUAUUACACCAACAACCAGGAGACCAUAUGUUGGAAGCCUUCCAAAAUGCAACCAGUGCAAAUUCCAUCAUAACGGAGCCUGCCGGGAGAUGUAUUGUACGAAAUGCAACCGAAAGAAUCACACCGCCAAAUUCUGUAGAACUUAUCCAUGCCAAAAUCGCCAGCCAAACAAAAACGACAACAGUCGCAACAACCCUAACAACAACACCAAUGAUGAGACCAGUCACACCCGCUAUGGGUAUGGAGGAACCGGUCACUUCAGGCGCAAUUGCCCAAGGAUAACAAUCAAGGAGCAGAAGGAUCGGAAAUGGUCCUGACCUUGGGUCAAGGCGAAGCAGUCCAAGACCCAACGAUUGUUAUUGGUACGUUCCCACUUAACAACUCUUUCGNNNNNNNNNNNNNNNNNNNNNNNNNNNNNNNNNNNNNNNNNNNNNNNNNNNNNNNNNNNNNNNNNNNNNNNNNNNNNNNNNNNNNNNNNNNNNNNNNNNNNNNNNNNNNNNNNNNNNNNNNNNNNNNNNNNNNNNNNNNNNNNNNNNNNNNNNNNNNNNNNUAAAUUUAAUGCCAGUAAAUAUUAGGAGUUUUAAUGUGAUAAUUGUCAUGGUUGGGUUAAGCCCCCACCGUGCUGAUACUAUGUGUCGCGAGAGGGCCGUUUGCCUUCACCUUCCUAAUCACGAAACUCUGAUAACCCAUGGUGAUAAACCUAGCGUCAAUCCUCGUCCUAUCUCGUGCAUCAAGGCACAGAAGUGCCUGCACCAGAAGAACUACGUUUUCCUUGCUCAAGUUGUGGACAAGACCAAGGAAGAAGUAAGCAUACAAGGUAUUCAGGUAGCAUGUGAUUUUACGAUUGUAUUUCCUGAAGAACUUCCGGGAAUACCUCCAGAAAGACAGGUAGAAUUUCAAAUUGACCUAAUGCCGGGAACCACAUCAAUUGCCAAUUCGCCCUAUAGGUUGACUCCCGCCGAAAAUUCACAAGUUAUCCAGUCAAUUGAGAAGAAUUGUUGCGCAAAGGAUCCAUCGGACCAAGCUUCUCACCCUGGAGAGCUCCCGUCUUGCUCUUCAAGAAGACGGAUCCUUCCGAAGGUACAUCAAUUUUAGGAAAUUGAAUAAACUCCCUAUCAAAAAUCAAUACCCACUUCCUCGGACUGACGAUCUAUUUGGCCAGCUCCAAGGAGCUAGUUAUAACCAGAGUCUCUUGAAGGGAGAGCGGGGAUUUGUGUAUAGAUCUAUACGGGGAUGACACCCCACACCUGAGCUGUUCGCUACAGUUAGACUAACUCAGUCUAGGGUGACAAAAACCUUAUUCUAUAUUCCGUCGGCGUCCAACGAUGCCAAGACAGGUGAAAUUGUCAUAAAUUAGUAUGGUUAUGAUGGCUCGCUUAGAGGAAUUAACGUUAUGAAGUUUACGGAAGACCUUUCUAUAUAGGCAACAUCGGGUUGUCUAGGAACAUUCUCGUUACAUGCUCUUACAUUCUCUCUCUACAAUCUAUUUACCUUUUUAGUCAGAUAACAAUAACAUACAUGCAUUAAUACAAGAUCUAACACAAACACACUAAACAGUUUUCAGAAAAUAUCGGAUUUUCUGGUGGUUUUCAAAGUUAUACAAAUCAUUUUCACAAACAUGCUUAUGAACUCACCAACAUUUUUAUGUUGACCAUUUUCAAAAUAACUUGUAUUCUCAGGAAAUCGUUGAAGCGGGAUGAACAAAACAAACUAAUGGAUAUUGUGUUAUAUUUUGAUUCAUCAUACUCUUACUAUCUUGGCAUGUAAUAUUCAAAUAGAAUACUCGAUGUAAACAAUGAAUGUUGUAAUAUUACAUGUGUGAUGAUGAUGAUGUUAUGUUUCAAUUAUAUUCACUGUAAUGAUAUUUCAAGAUGAAGUCACGCACAAGCCCCCGGACGUUUCCGUCGUCUGGUUCGGUGGUGUGACAGUUACCCCAAAAUACCAAUACCACACAGAUAACCAUAUCAUGUAAACAUAUAAGAAACAGAACAACCAUGCAUCUCGAGUCUACAGUGUGAUUAGGUUGCCCGCACUGGGCCUUCAGUUCACUUGAAAUCAACGAAGCUAUACAUAAAACAAUAAAAUUUAAAAUGGAUGAAAUGUACGAAAGUAUAAACUCAACAGUUUCCCAACAUCAAUAUUUCAUUUAAACAUGAAACAGUUGGUUUACAUCAAACUAUUUACAAAAGAAACCUCACUACAAUCACACUCAACUCUCUAAUGAUCAUUCAAGAACAAAAUGAUACAAGAUCUAAAGAAAAUGAUCUUAAAACCCUAAUAGAAAGCUUUAAAUUGGAGGAACUCUGCGAGUAAGAAAACAACAAGAAUAAUAUCUGCCCUAAAUGAACUGCAACUUCAACAUUAAAUACAUUGGGGCAUAAAACCAGAUUCGGGUUAAGCAACCCGCGUAUUCAUCCUUACAUGCAUUAUCAAAAUAUACCACAACACCCCUCUACAACCAAUAAAUAACAUAAUGUGACCAAAAUAACAAAAUACCUCAAAUGAUAAGUUUGCAACUAAUAACACUUUUUAAGACCCCCUCUCAAACUUAUCAUUUGAAGACAUACUCAUUUUCCAGAAAAAAAGUUUAAAAGUCCAAGUCUUUUUGAGAAGAAUUCAUGUUGAAAAGAAGUUAAUGAUUUAGUUAAAAUAUCUGCAUUUUGAUUAGAAGAAUCAAUCUUAACCAACUUCAAAAUACCACUUUCAAUUUUUUCUCUCACAAAAUAAACAUCUAUUUCAAGAUGUUUUGUCUUCUCAUGAAAUACAGGAUUUAAAGCUAAUUUAAUAGCAGAUUCAUUAUCAUAAAACAAUUUAACAGGAGUUAAGUUUUUAAAACCAAGAUCAUUUAAAGCUUUUAAAACCCACAACACUUCACAUGUUACAGAACCCAAAGCACGAUAUUCAGAUUCAAUUGAGGAUCUGGAUACUGUGAUUUGUUUCUUACUCUUCCAAGAAAUAAGUGAACUACCUAAAUAUACCAAAUAUCCAGACACAGACCUUCUAGUUGAGAAACACUUAGCCCAAUCAGCAUCCACAUAACCAAUAACAUCAAAAACAUUAGAUUUAGAAAAUACCACACCUUUUCCAGGACAUUCUUUUAAGUAUCUUGAUAAUCUGAAAGCAACAUUUAGAUGUGAUUUCCUGGGCUUAUGCAUAAAUUGACUUAACAGUUGAACAACAUAACUAAUAUUAGGUCUAGUAACAGUUAAAUAAAUCAGUUUCCCUAUAAGUUUUUGAAAUUCAGUUAUAUUACUUACAAGAUCUGAAUUAUCAUCACAAUCUCUAUUAAACACAAAAUUAACUUCCAAAGGAGUUUUAAUAGGCUUACAGCCCAGCAUACCAAACUCAUGUAAUAAUUCUAAACAAUACUUCCUUUGAUUUAGGCAAACACCACUACCAGUAGAUAAAACUUCAAUUCCCAAAAAAUACUUCAAUAAACCUAAAUCUUUUAUUCUAAAUUGUGAUUUAAAAAACAAUUUAACAUUUUCAAUUUCUACACUGCUAUUAUUAGUUAGAAUUUUAUCAUCUACGUACACAAGUAAAAUGACAAUGGUGUUAUUUUUAAUUCGAACAAAUAAAGAAUAAUCAUUUAUGCUUUGAACAAAACCAAAACUUGACAGAGAUGAACACAAUUUUUCAUUCCACUUUCGUGGAGCCUGCUUUAACCCAUACAAAGACUUAACAAGCUUACACGCUCUACUAUCAUUUUUAGUAUGAUAACCUUCAGGCAAAGUCAUAUAAACAUCUUCAAUUAAAUCACCAUAUAAAAAAGCAUUAUUAACAUCUAAUUGAUAGAGAGGCCAAGAAUUAUUAACAGCCACACAAAUAACAAUUCUAACAGUAACAGUCUUUGCAACAGGAGAAAAAGUUUCUUUGUAAUCAAUCCCUUCUCUUUGAUUAUAACCUUUAGCAAUUAGUCUAGCUUUAUAUCUCUCAACCUCACCAUUUGAUUUGUACUUAAUUUUAUAAAUCCAAUGACAACCAAUGGGUUUUCUGUCUUUGGGAAGCUCAACAAUAUCCCAAGUAUGGUUUCUAUAUAAGGCUUCCAUCUCCCCAUUCAUGGCUUUGAUCCAGUUUGGAUCAGUAGAAGCUUCUGAAUAAGUACUAGGUUCAAAUGUUUUAUUAAUAUUAGACACAAAACAUUUACUAUCACUUGUUAACAAAGAAUAAUUCACAGAUUUUUCUAAUCAUGUGAGAACUUUCCACAACAAAGUCAUUAAAUCUUGUUGGUAAAUGAACAUUUCUACCAGAUUGAGUAACACCUAAUAAGUGAUCAUCAGAAGGAAUAUUUUGUUCUAAAAUACUAUCGUCAGCCAAAGUUGAUGAACUAGGAACAUCCACAACAUUCUGUUGCACACGUGCCUUGUCACUCUGGUUGCUGACCUCAUCAUUAGGGGUCUCAGCCAGGUUAUGAACUGCUCUAGUACCUUCAGACUGAAGGGUUAUUCCUAAGUCACCCAAACUAUUGUUUUCUUGAAGAGAACUAGAUAACUGAGGCUCAUCAUAGGAAAAUGGGUCACUUGGAUGAUACAAACUAUUAGUUCUGUCACUAACCAAAGGUUUAAGCUUGAACAGAAAUACAGUUUCAUAAGAUUUGACAUCCCUGGAAACAAAGACAAAAUUUGAAUCAAGACUUAAAACUUUAUAACCCUUUUGUUCCAAAGAAUAACCAAGUAAGACACAUUUUUUAGCACGUUCAGAAAAUUUUUCAGGAUUAUUUAGUUUUGUUGCAAAACAAAGACAACCAAAAACACGAAGUUUAUCAAAACUAGGAACAGAUUUAUAAACAAGUUUAUAAGGAGAGGCUCCAUUUAAUACAGAAGUGGGAGUUCUAUUAAUCAAAAAAACUGCUGUUAAAAUAGAAUCACCCCAAAAAGUCAAUGGCAGUCCUGACUGAAACAUUAGAGACCUAGCUACAUUUAGAAUAUGUCUAUGUUUUCUUUCAACCACCCCAUUUUGUUGAGGUGUAUGAACACAAGAAGUUUGAUUAAUAACACCUCUAUUUUCAAAAAAAACUUUUCAUGUUAUGAUUCAAAAACUCAGUCCCAUUAUCGGACCUAACCUUUUUAAUAUUAACUUCAAACUGAUUUAACAAAAUAUUAAAGAAUGUAGUAACACAAGAAAAUACUUCACUUUUAGACUUAAGCAAGUAAAUCCAAGUUGCCCUAGUGAAAUCAUCCAUUAUAGUAAGAAAGAACUUAUAACCUUUUGAAGUGAUCACUCUAUAGGGACCCCACACAUCUAGAUGAAUAAGUUCACCUAAACAAGAAGUAACAUGCUGACUAAUUGGAAAGGAACUCCUUGUUUGUUUAGCUUUAUGGCAAACAUCACAUGGAGGUAAGUACUCAUUUCCAAUUUAAGAUGAGUUUUUAAUGAAUUCAGAGCUUGAUCAGGAGGAUGACCAAGUCUACUAUGCCAUGUAAAUUUAGAAACAUAACAUACACCAAAAUUAGAGCUAAAGGAAUUACCAGAAGGUACACUAUCAACAUAAUAGAGUCCUCCAGAUUCACUACCAUUCCCCACCAUCUCCUUUGAGUGUAAAUCUUGAAUUUUACAACUAUGUUCAUUAAACACAACCUCACACUUAUUAUCUUUACAAACCUUGUGAACUGACAUUAGAUUUACAUUAAACUUAGGAACAACAAACACAUCAAAAAGAGUUAAGGAGUUUGAAAUAUUUAAGUUUCCAAUUUUUUCUAUUUAGCACAAGUUCCAUUAGGAUGAAUAACAAGAAGAUUAAGCUUAGAUACAUCCACUGUAUCAUGCAAGAGAGAUUCAGAUGCUAUCAUAUGUUGACUAGCACCAGAAUCAAGAAUCCAUUUAUUACCAUUAUAAGAUGAAUUACAAACAUUAAACAAGCAAGUACCUGUCAUAUUAGAACUGACAUAUGCUUCCUCAUUUGACUUUCUUUCACCUAUCAGACUAAGAAACUUGGCAUAUUGAUCCUUAGUAAGUUGAUGAAAUUCAGACUCUCCAGGAUCAGAUGAUACAGGAGUAACAACAAAUGAAUUUGCAUUAAAACUUUUAGCUUGACUAUUUUGAUUAACAUCACUCCUGGGUUUAUAAUCCUUUGGGUACCCAAUUAGCUUAUAGCAUUUUUCAAUUGUAUAUCCUUUUAAUCCACAAUUCUUACACUGAAUAGCUGAACCUUCACUUUUAUUACUAGAAUUACCAGAAAAUUUAUUAUUGAACUUACUAUUAAAAGCACUAGGUUGAUUCUUGGGACCAGAUUGAGAGUCAUUAGAAAGGGAUCCAUUCCUUUGAAGAGACUCUUCACGAGAUAUGAUUGAAAAAGCAGUUUUAACAUUAGGAAGUGGAUCCAUAAGCAAUAUAUGACUCUUAACUUGGUUAUAAGAGUCAUCCAAACCACUAAGAAAUUGCAUGAGUUUCAUUAAUUUAGAGUGAUCAUUUAGUUUAAAAACAGCCUCACAUGUACAUUCUGUAAGACUGAUUAAGCCAUCAAACUCCUUACACAAGGCAUCGAGUUUAUUAAAGUAAUCAGAAACAGAUAUACCACUUUGUUUUAAAGAAUUAAUUCUUUGAUGAACAUUAAAAACUACAUAUCCAUCAGCUUUAUUAUAAGUUUCAAAUAAAUUUUCCCAAAUUUCUUGAGCAUUAUCAGAAUAAGCAUGACUAGCAUAUAUUGAAUCACUAAUAUAAGACAACAACCAAGAACACACAACAACAUUUUCCCUUUCCCAUUUUGAUUCUUUAUGUUUUUCAACUUUAUCCUUUUUAAAAGUGCCAUCAACAAACCCUAGUUUGUUUCUAGCCUUAAGGGCUCUAGACAUAGAACUCCUCCAAAUACGAAAAUUUUCAUUUCCAGUUAGUUUCACAGUAACAUUAGUUGUAGUUGCAUUAUCAGAAGGUUGGACAUAGAGAGGAUCAUCAAAAUUAAUUGAAUCAUCCUUUCUACUUCCUCCUGGAGGAUCAGUUGAACCAACCAUACAAAAGGAAGGAACAACAAGUCACAAACAAAGCUCAAGAGAGAACAACAAUAAGUAAACAACAGAGUAAACAGCUAGUCAGUCAAGAACAACCAAACAACAGACUCAUGUAUUGACAUAAAGUCCAGAUGGUCACCACGUUUGUCGGGGCCCAAGACAAUCAAUACAGAGUCAACAAAACAAUAAGAACAAAACAAAUAAGAAUAACUGGUGUACACAAGACAACCAGGAUCUCCCAAUCACAGAUAUGAAAAAGAGUGAAAAAAAGGAACAAGAAACCCCUCACAAUGCUAUUAAGACGAAGCAAUCAAGGGACCGACUCUAUCUGUCCGUUCUCUACUUAGGAUUUAUCGGUGAUGAACUCCGACCCCUAGAGAGUUAUUUCAGACAAAUAGAUUAAUCGACUGAAGUUCAGCGGAUUCCAGUUCAACAAUUGUUCAAAGACCGAUUUUGUUUAUGCUUUGUUUAAAAAUCAGAGUAACAUUUUAAAUAAAAGUGUUGCGGAAUUUGUCCCAAAACAAAAUAUGAUAAAGUUUUAUCAAAAGCAUUUCCAAAGGAAUAUAUUUCAUUAAAAGACUCGGGAUGUCAUGUUCGAUACAGAUCAAAAGCAUAAAUAGUACAAUAUAAGCUUUACUACAUUAUUUCAUAUCUACAGGCCUAUAUCCGUAAUCCCUCAUCCAAGACAUCUCAUCUAUGCUCAUGCGUCACUACCUGUAAUACAAGAAACUGAGUGGGUCAGGCUUGGGAGCCUGGUGAGCACAUAGGGUUUUCAACCCACAAUAAAUAAGUUUAUUAAUUUCAUCAAUCAACGAUAACCCGAUUACCCGUUCCCGUUCUCCUCACAUUACGUCCCUAAACACCUAUUAUAAGGGACCUAUCCUAAGGAUCAUCAUCGGGAUGGACACUACUGCUAAGGGGAUUCCUCAGCAAUAAAUGUCCUAAAGGCAACCAUGUGGGGGAUGGAGUACACCGGUGAACACAUCGUUCACAAACACCUACAGGUUGCGAGCGCUGCUAGUGUUCCACUGGACUGUCUAGAAGAGUCCGUGGUCGUCAUCCAUACUCCGCUAGAUGACAGAAUCAACAACAUCAACAUCGAGGCCUCUCAUCAUUUUAUCACACAUAACCUAUUAAAUCUACCCAUGUUUUAUCCCAACAUUUUCGUAGAUAUAAAAUACAUAUACAGUUUAAAUCAUGUAUAACAAUGUUCAUCCAGCAUAGAUAGCAAGUAUUCAGAUAAUAUGCUCACAUAGCACGCAAUUUAUAUAAAAUACUUCAUAUCUAUGUGUAAGCUGAAAGUAACUAUGCACUCACUUGAAAGGUGGUGACUCAGCACUCGGACAACGCUUCGAUACUCUUAAAACAAUUUUCCUUCGAUAAAACCUAGUAUCAAUACCACUAAAGUUUAAUCUAACGAUAACCGCGACAAAUUAAUAGUCUGACUAUUAUUAUUAUUAUAUAAGUGUUAAAUAACACUCAAUAUAACUCAUAAUAAUAGCCCAAAUAAUUAUUUCAAGGACCUAAUAACAUUCCUAUAAUUAUUUGAAAGCUAUAUUAAAAAUUGCAUAAGCGUAUCUCACUUACAACGGAUUUUAAAGAAAACCGGAACUUUAUUUGGAGCAGCGUUUCGAAACCGAAAGACCCUUUUUCUCGGGACUCCGGGAGCCUAGGGUCUUCCCUCGGGUGCUAAGGGUUUUAUCUAGGGCUUAGGAUGGUUUAGAACUCUUAGAGAGAGAAAUAUUGUAGAGAUAGAAUGAGAAAAUGUGAGAAAAAUCCGGAGACCCUCGCCCCCUUUUAUAGCCUGCGAGCCUCGGACGUAUGCUGGGCGUAGUCAUCGGAUAAAGGUUGCCAGCCGAAGCCAACUGUCUUGCACUCGGAGCGGAGAAGAGCGAGGGUACGUGGGGCGUAGGCGAAGCGACGUGUCGCAAAUCCGAAGCGAAGCGUGAUCAGCAAGCGACGACCCUGAUUGAGCCAUGUCAUCACCCUCGCAACAGAUUUCGCAAAUUCAUUUUCCGACUUCUAAAAAUCAUAACUUUCGCAUACAAGCUCCAUUUUCGACGUUCUUUAUAUCCACGCGAAGGUGGGAAUGUACUUUACAACUUUCGCUUAGACUCUGUUGGCUAAUUUUGAAUCGAUUUUAAAUUUUAUAUUAUUAACAGGCCGGGACAGGAUUGGUCCGUUAAAUCCUCAUAACUUCUUCAUCCUACGUCCAUUUUCGCCCAUCUUUUUCUCGUUAUGCUACUCUUAAUGAGAUCUUCGAUUCUCGUUUAGGUCGUGUCGGCUAAAAAUCACUCGAUCUAAUAUUCGAAUUUCGGGCUAUACACUGCUAAGCCGAAACUUCGAAAAAUCAUAACUUCUUCAUACGAAGUCAGAUUUGGGCGUUCUUUUCAUCGACGNCUACGACUUUAGUUUAGAUUGCUAAGGCUAUAUCUUGCUCUAUCGUAAAUUCGCUAUUUACGAUUCCCGGUAUCGUGUCGGUUCUGUUGCGAAACUUUGACGGGUCAUAACUUCUUCGUUAUAACUCGGAUUUCGGCGUUCUUUAUAUCCCCGGAAUCCUAGUUUCAACCACUACAAAUUUAUAUAAAGAUAUCAGACUUAUCUCUUACUUUAAUUUUGACGCUUAUUUUUAUUCUUUAUUAAUUAUACAUUUAUAAUUAAAUAAUAAACACAUAAAUACACACAAUUCACAUAAUACUCAAAUAUUUUAUCUUUAUUACUUCAAAAAGAGUUACAAUAGUUGACCUAGACUAUUACAUCGUCAAAAAUACUUAGCCCUGAAACCCGGGCGUUACAAGUGACCCUGCAAGAAACCACAGAAACACUCACAGUACCAGGACCAUAAAAAACAAAUAUAAGAUCCGCUAAAAGAAAACCCUAAAUCGAAACAAACAACUGAAACAAAUCAGUUUUAGUAAGAGAUCCAAAAGAGUUAUAAAACCUUUUAGAUCUAUGACAAUAGGUAAAGAAGAAAAUAGAAUAAAGGAUUAGAAACAACCUUUUAUGACAUCUUCAGAAGAUAAAAAACCUCCGAUGAACACCGACGAAGACGGCGAUGUUUGAUGAACACCAACGACGAAGACGACGAACCCUAACGCUUUGAUACCAUGUACGAAAGUAUAAACUCAACAGUUUCCCAUCAUCAACAUUUCAUUUAAACAUGAAACAGUUGGUUUACAUCAAACUAUUUAUAAAAGAAACCUCACUACAAUCACACUCAACUCUCUAAUGAUCAUUCAAAAACAAACUGAUACAAGAUCUAAAGAAAAUGAUCUUAAAACCCUAAUAGAAAGCCCUAAAUUGGAGAGAACUCUGCGAGUGAGAAAACAACAAGAAUAAUAUCUGCCCUAAAUUAACUGCAACUUCAACAUUAAAUACAUCAGGGCAUAAAACCGGAUUCGAGUUAAGCAACCUGCGUAUUCAUCCUUACCUGCAUUAUCAAAAUAUACCACAACACCCCUCUACAACCAAUAAAUAACAGAAUAUGACCAAAAUAACAAAAUACCUCAAAUGAUAAGUUUGCAACUAAUAACACCUUUUAACGUGAAAUCAAGAAUGAGCUUUUAGAACAUAUAAUUACGUAACAAUUACCAAUUAUUUCAAAAAACAAUAAAUACUUCAAUAUAAAAUCUAUCAUUGUAUUUCUUAAUCACAGCAAUGCAUAUGUAUUGGGCUUUCUUAAUUUCAAUAAGAUAGAGUUUUGAAUAUUAUAAUUUAAUAAAUAAAUACUUUAAAGGUAACACUAUAUACAAUUUAAACUAAUUACUCAAUACAACUCAAGAGUUUUUUAAAAUUAUGGUUAUUAAAUGAUAUUUAUGAUGUAUAUAUGGUUCACAAACAUAUGGUGAAAACCUAUCUUUUAAAGAUUUAACCACUCAAAUAUUUUAUAACUUAUAUAUGUUUUAUAACUUAUAUAUUAUAUUUAAUAAUCACUUAAUGUAAGUUUAGUAUAAAUAAUUUAAUCUCCUCAAAGGUUAUAUUAAAUUUUUGCGCAAAGCACGUAUACGUCUAGUAUGAAAAAUAAUAUUAACGGACAUCCAAAUUAAGGGUGGGUGACUCCUGAUUCACCAAAAGGCCAUCUAAUGUUGUCCGAGCCGCCUCUUUCUAUUCCUGUUGGUUUGGUUUUCUGACCUUUCUUCACCCAAUCCAAACCAAAAUGACAAAACACGAGAUGUGAUGAGGAGAUUUAUAUUAUAUAUAUACUAGUCCAUGGUUUCCUUCAUUGUAUAUAUAUACACACACACGUAUAUAUAAGUGUUGAUUAAGGCAACCUUGUGUGUGUCUCACUUUUCUCAGGCAUACACAAGCAACUGGGAAACGGAUCAACGACUAAAGCCAAGCUUCUCCCAACCAAAUAUAUGGCGACCUCAGUCGAAAACCGCAACUUCCGCCACGAGCUUGGUGUAUCCGCCGCUGGUGCAGUGCGUUCCGAGUCACCCAUCCAUGGAUUCAACUAUCCAGCUGUUGCUAGAGAGUUUAUGACGCCUAAGAAGCUUCCCCCUGAAACUUACGAUUCUAGUGACGAUGAGGAAGACGAAGGAGACUAUCGUGAUGCCAUUAAGAAGUCCAACUCCGAGUUGGAAAGCUCCGUUUUUGACUCCAGAGAUCAAGGCACUGCGGAUCAAUGGAUCGAGCGCAACCAAUCAAUGGUUCGACUCACUGGAAAACACCCAUUCAACGCCGAGCCACCUUUGACUAAGCUCAUGCAACAUGGGUUCAUCACCCCUGCUCCUCUUCAUUACGUCCGCAACCAUGGUCCAGUUCCGAACGCCACCUGGGAGGAUUGGACGGUGGAGAUAUGCGGUUUGGUUAAACGACCUGCGCGUUUCAGCAUGACUCAGCUUGUCAACGAGUUUCCCAGCAGGGAGUUUCCGGUGUCGUUAGUCUGCGCUGGAAACCGCCGGAAAGAGCAGAAUCUGACGAAACAAACCAUAGGGUUCAACUGGGGCGCCGCCGGUAUAGCGACCUCGGUUUGGAAAGGGGUGCCAUUGGUCAGCAUCUUGAAAAGAUGUGGGAUUUAUAGCCGGAAGAAAGGCGCGCUCAGUGUGUGCUUUGAGGGGGCGGAGGAUCUACCCGGCGGAGGCGGUUCCAAAUACGGAACCAGCAUAAAGAUCGAGGUUGCAAUGGAUCCGGCGAGGGAUAUCAUUUUGGCUUACAUGCAAAACGGAGAAAAGUUGUUGCCUGAUCAUGGAUUCCCGGUGAGAAUGAUUAUUCCGGGAUGCAUCGGUGGAAGGAUGGUGAAGUGGUUGAAGCGUAUCAUAGUAACGACGCCGGAGUCGGAGAAUUAUUACCACUACAAAGACAACCGUGUGUUGCCGUCGUACGUGGAUGCGGAGUUAGCCAACUCCGAAGGUAAUUCAUACAGUAUUUUAUACACGUAUUUUUUUUUAAAACAUAUAUUACUAUUAAACUACAUCUAAUUCAUAGCUGUAUCUCAUGCGUGACUUCAACUUUCAAUCUAAGAGCAAAAGGCUAACAAUACUAAAUACUAACUGACAAUUACUAAUACUAGUUGCCAAUUUUCAGACUAGAAUAAGCCUUUUGAUUAUAGAAUCAUUGUCUGAUAUAUAUACAAUAUAUAUAAUUCAUGCAUAUCAAUGAAUCAUAAUAUUUUUGUGAUUUUGACUUUUAGUAUGAUUUGAUUUGAAUUAGGUUGGUGGUAUAAGCCAGAAUACAUCAUCAACGAGCUCAACAUAAACUCGGUGAUUACAACACCUUGUCACGAAGAGAUUUUACCGAUAAAUUCAUGGACUACUCAAAGACCUUACACCUUGAGAGGCUAUGCAUAUUCUGGUAAUAAAUUAAUGUUUUUUUAUCUCUUAAUUAUUAACAUAUAGUAGUUUAUUUUAUGUCGCAUUAAAAGAUAUUUAGUGAGAUUCCGUGUUUGAAUUAUUCAAUAAUUAGUUAAUUACCACUGGUUACGUUCGCAAAAUAAUCACAGCUACUCUUAUUGUAUAUUACUUUUUACAAAAAAUAAUAAAACAUCAACUGUUUUUUAAAGCCUCCGGUCAUCAUAUAGUAAUCUUGAUUUUUAAAUUGUUAACUUUAGUUUUUUUAUUUAAUGUUUUUUUUAAUUGAAAGAUAUUUUAAGAAUAAUAAAACUUCGCUUAAGGACACUGGAUUUAUAGAUACGGAUUAUACGGUAAAAAAAACAAGCUUCACAUGACAUGACAACUUACAAGUUUGCAAAUACCACUUGUCGUGAUAAAAACUUCAAAGGAAUAUUUUGACUUAAAUGAUCAAUUAACUAGUUGAUUAAUUAUUCUAAAGUGCUAAAGCAAUUAAUUACUAUAUAUACCUUUCAUAUUCUAUUUUGUAAUUUACAUAAACAAAACCAAGCACAUUAAUUAAAUAUCAUAAGAAAAGAUGACCAGUUAUAUUAAUUUGAAGAGUCAAACAAUAUAUUAGUCUUCAAGUGUGUUGGAUAUAGGAUUUGACUUUUAAUUAAUUAAGAGAAUUGAAUUGGGUGAUUCAUAGGAAGUGGGAAGAAAGUGAUACGUGUCGAAGUAACAAUGGAUGGAGGAGAGACAUGGAACGUUUGUACAUUGGAUCAUAAAGAGAAGCCAACAAGAUAUGCCAAAUAUUGGUGUUGGUGUUUUUGGUCGUUAGAAGUUGAAGUUUUGGACCUUCUUAGUGCCAAAGAGAUAGCAGUUCGAGCCUGGGAUGAGACCCUCAACACCCAACCAGACAAGCUCAUUUGGAAUCUAAUGGUAACCUACUUACUUUUUCAUGAUACAUUUAUAUUUCUUUUUUGGGUUUAAUGUAUUUUGCUAUAGUUAUUAAGAUAUUAGGUUUUUUUACUACUCUAAAAUCAAUUUUCCAUUCCAUAAAGUUUUACUUAAAAGUAAAAUACAUUAUUAUGUCAAUUUAGUUACCAAACUAUCACUAUAUAUUUAUUAUAGUAUUAACAAUUAUUAAUAGAUCAAUCAAUAUAAAAUAAAAAAUGAUCAAAAUAUAUCAUAUUUUUGUUAUGUUUUGUUCAAAUAUAGAAAAAUGGAGAACAAUAUGGAAAACCAAUUGACUUAUGUGAUAAAAGAAUUAUAUUAAUAAACUAAUGAAAAUUGUUGGUGUAUAUAUAAUUUUGUCUGCAGUCAAACAAAUAUCAAAAUUAUACGAACAACAUUUAUUUCAUAUUGCAAAGCUAAUUACAUUGAAUUUAUACAGGGUAUGAUGAACAACUGUUGGUUUAGAGUGAAGACCAACAUGUGUAAACCACAUAAAGGCGAAAUUGGCAUCGUCUUCGAGCACCCAACCCAACCUGGAAACCAGUCUGGUGGAUGGAUGGUGCGUGAGAAACACCUCGAGAUUUCAACAGAAUUAGCACACCCAACUCUCAAAAAGAGUGUAUCAUCUCCAUUCAUGAACACCGCAUCUUUAACCUUCACCAUGUCUGAAGUCAAGAAACACAACUCCGUUGACUCUGCAUGGAUCGUCAUCCAUGGCCACAUCUACGACUGCACUUCCUUCCUUAAAGAUCAUCCAGGUGGCAGUGACAGCAUACUCAUUAAUGCUGGAACUGAUUGCACCGAAGAGUUUGAUGCAAUUCAUUCAGACAAAGCCAAGAAACUGUUGGAGGAGUACAGAAUCGGUGAGCUCAUAACCACGGGUUACAGUUCGGAUUCUGCUGCAUCAUCACCAAAUAACUCCGUCCAUGGUGCCACCAAUUACAUCACGUCACAUUUAGCCACCAUCAAAGAAAUUACACCCACAAGAAACGUAGCCUUAAUCCCUCGUGAAAAGAUCCCUUGCAAACUCGUUUCAAAAACAUCGGUUUCUCAUGACGUGAGGCUAUUCAGGUUUGCCCUCCCAUCAUUGGAUCAUGUUCUUGGGUUACCAGUAGGGAAACAUAUAUUUGUAUAUGCCACCAUUGAUGAAAAGUUGUGCAUGAGGGCCUACACACCAACAAGCACCAUUGAUGAAGUUGGCUACUUCGAGUUGCUGGUUAAAAUCUAUUUCAAAGGUGUGGAACCCAAGUUUCCGAAUGGAGGGCUCAUGUCGCAAUAUCUAGAUUCAAUGACACUAGGUUCUUUAUUGGAGAUCAAAGGUCCAUUGGGUCACAUCGAAUACAUUGGUAGGGGGACAUUUUCAUUUCAUGGUAAACAAAAGUUUGCCAAGAAAUUAGCCAUGUUUGCAGGUGGAACGGGGAUCACACCGAUAUAUCAAGUGAUGCAGGCGAUCUUGAAGGAUCCAGAGGAUGAUACAGAGAUGUAUGUAGUGUAUGCAAAUCGAACCGAAGAUGAUAUAUUGUUGAGGGAAGAACUGGAUGCAUGGGUAUAUAAGUAUAAAGAAAGGGUGAAGGUGUGGUAUGUUGUUUCUAAGUCGAUAAGAGAAGGGUGGAAAUACAGUGAAGGGUUCAUCACCGAAGAUGUCAUGAGGGAACAUAUUCCGAAGGCUUCUGAAGAUACAUUGGCUUUGGCUUGUGGACCACCACCCAUGAUUCAGUUCGCAAUCAACCCUAAUUUAGAAAAGUUGGGUUAUGAUAUAAAGAACUCUUUGCUUGUGUUUUAGAAGAUCAUAUUGUAUUGUUAUAUUAGAUCUUGGUUAAAUUUUUAUUUCAAAUAUAAGAUAAAGGCCAUAUAUAUGUACAUACACUUGUACUUAUAAUCAUAUUUCUAUACGAGGGAGCUUAUUAAUAAAAAAUCAUAAUAAUUUUAAAGCGUCUUUUAAGUCAUCCUCUUAAAUCAAGUGUCUCCCUUUGGUUAUUCUUGAUAGUUAUUUUCAAGGAUUAAUGUCAUUAUAGCCCAACCAACUAUCAGGUUUUGUUUUAAAUAGCCCCUUAUGUUUUUUUAGCAUUUAAAGGGAAUAAAAUCCAUGUUAACCUGUUUAUUAAGGACCUAAAACCUGUUUUAAGGCACCUUCACCUUUAAUCCCAAAUCACCAUCCAAUCAUCUCCAUCCUAGAAAAACCAUUGCUCCUUCAUAUGUGUUGUUUUUCUUUUCCUAUGAAUCACAACUUAUAUAUUCAAUACAUUGAUUUCUCCAUCUCACUAAUUCAAGAUUGUGAUUAGAAAUCUUCGUGCUGUGAUUCCAUUAGAUGGAUUUAUUCACGAUUUUAGAUGUUCUUCAACACAAGUCUAUGAACUUCAAACUCCACCACCAACCAUCUCCCACGAUCAACCCACCACCAUCGUCCUCUUACUACCAAUCACCAUCAUCGUUCACCUGCAUUAGAUUUGAAAAAUGAUUUAAAUCACAAUGCAACAACCCUUACAAGAGGAGUGAUAUACACGAGAGAAGAUGUUAAAGACCCGUCAUUUUAGAUUUGAAGCAACGAACAUAUAUCGGAUUGGUGUUCUGCAUCACGAUCUGUCAUCUUCAAACCCAAUAUCUUUCCUUAUUUCCAGAUUUAGGUUGUAACGGAGCUGAGGAAAUUCAGAUGUUCUAGAAACUGAUGGGUUACAUUUCAAGCAAAAUUGAAGAGGUUAACUCCAUAUUCUCUAUCAAUUUUAGGACUUCUAACAUGUCUUCUUUGCAGAUCAAUUUGAGAACAUAACAAACUACAAAGAUCACUAUAAAGGAACUAGGUCUGAGAUAUGGGAGGAGACAAGAGGCAAAUUACAUGCUUUUGUUGUACAUGCAGGGACAUGUAGCACUCUGGGUAGUGUUUCUUGAUUUUUAAAAGAAAAUGAUCCAAUGGUAAAUUGUUAUCUUGUGGAUCCUCCUAGUUCUGAUUUGUUUAACAAAGUUACAUAAGAAGUGAUGUACACAAGAGAAGAGGUUAAAGAACCCAUUUGAAAUUGUCACAUAAGGAAUAUGGAUCAAUAGAUUGACUGAGAAUUUCAAAAUGGCCCAACUUGAUGGAGGGUUCUAAUAUUUUUGUUCCUUUUAUUAAAUUCCUUCUAAAGAAUGAUGAACUAUUUGUUAGAUGUUCUUCAGUAAUGAAAUAUGUUGGACCUGAUGUGGCCAAUAUUAUUGGUGAUGCUGAGAGUACAACCCACUACUGUUGGUGUCUCCAUGGAUUUUAUUUGGUUUGAAGUCACAACCUUGAAAGGCAUAAUCAGAUAUAAUCAGAUAGCUACAGUAGCCGUCGAAAGUCAAUGAACAUGUAGGUGAACCAUGAGAGUACAUUGCAUAAUUAGACCUUAUUUGGAACAUAAACCUAAUAAAAAAAAGGUUAAAGUGACCAAAUUGGCCAGUAAUAAUCAAGUUCAUGCCCUUGUAAUGCCAAACUUUAGAUUGAUGGACCUUUUAAACCAAAUCAUGUUAGUUUAUAGGUUUAUAGUGACAUUUUCCCUAUUUUCAAUAACCAAAAACAUAAAACUCCCAAAGCUUGAUCUUGAAUUUGAUUAUACGAAAUAAACAAAAAGAAAUUACAUACCUUCACUAUAAGAAUGAAACUCUAUAGAGAUGAAACCUAUAGGUAAAACACAUUUUGUCGUGAUUAAGGGCAUGUAGGGAACAACAUGUCAUCGUAAUAGGGUUGAACAACAUGUAACACUCACGAAUUUAGGGUAAACAUUUUAAGGGUUUAUAAAUUAUAUAAAAUAUAUUUAUACUACAUACAUGUUUUAUGGUCAAAGAUUAUGGGCUUAUAAUAUUUGAAUACAACAUAUCUAGAAAUUAACAAAUUAUGUCAAAUAAGUGUCUAAAAAUAAAAGACUAUUUAGGAUAAAUAGUAUUGAUGAAAGUUGUAGUUGUUGUUAUGAUGAUUUUUUGGAUAUAAAGAACGUUUAAAUCUGACUUCGUAUGAGGAAGUUAUGAUUUAUCUAAGUUUUGUGUUCAAACCGAUAUGACAAGGUGCGCUAUAAAAAGUGAAUCAGAGAUAGGUUGCUUUUUAUCCUAAGUGAUCUAAAAAAAAUUGUAGUGCUCGUUAAUAGGAACUUGUCCAUGUAAACAACACUAAAAUCAAUAUUCGUAUGAAGAAGUUAUGAUUUUUCAAAGUUUCGAGUGUGACAUAGUACAAUAGUGUGCGAUACAGAAAUCGAAAUUUAAAAGUAGUUGAUUGUUAGCCAAAAAAAUGUAAACAAGAGUUGAAGAUUUCAUAAGUAUGAAUUUUCGGUAUAAAGACAGUCGAGAACGGAACUCGUAUGUGAGGUAUAUAAGAGAAACUUGGUCCCUAAGUUUCAAAACAAAGGCGAAAUCUGUUUAGAUUUGUAAAAUUGAAAUAGACUGAGAAUUAUCUUACAAUGUCUAAAUGAAAGUUGUAGUACACUUCAAUAUGAGACCAACGAUAUAAAGACAAUUGAAAAUGGAAUUCAUAUGAAGAAGUUAUGAAUUUCAUAGCGUUAUUUAUAGUCUAAAAUUCCUCGAACUGAAACACGAAAAAUAAAGUGAAAAGUAGCCGACGAAGUCUAAAUCAAAAUUGUCGUACUCGUCGAUACCUACGCAUAGAUAUAAAGAUCUUUGAAAACGGAUCUUGUAUGCGAAAGUUAUGAAUUUUACAAAAUAAUUAAAAAUCAGAUGGCCCAGAUGAUGACAUGUGGCACGUUUUACGUUUUACAUACACGAGUACUAUAUUAAGUAUCCCCCUCCUACUUAGAUAGUCAUAUAUAUUCUGUCUGUAUUGGAUCACUUCUAGGUAUGUCUAGGUCAGGCAGCCUAUAGGUGCCUGGAUGACCGGUCUAUAUCAAACAGAAGGAUUAUAAGUUAUCUACCAGAGCGAGAUGACGACCACUUACAAACCUAGUCUUGUGGAAUACACUAAAAGACUUAUAGUCUGUAGAUGUUAAUGAAUUAUGUGUUCAUUUGAUGCACUCCAUCCCCCUUAUAGUUACCCUCAUUGAUUAGUGCCUGCUACUAAGGACACCCCAAGGCAAUAUAGUCAAAUAACUAUUUACAGUGAUCCAUCAGGAUAGAUCUUAUAAGAUCACUGUAUUAGGAUAAGUAUGUGAGGAUUGACAACGUUGGUAGUUUCAGGGAAAUGUUUUCUAGAUGAUUAUGUUGAGUUGUUGGAUGAAUUUUUUUUGCAGGUUAUUGAUGAAUAUAACAUUUUGGGAUUCAAAACCCUAAGUAACUCAUCAUGUUUCCCAACCUGACCCACUCAAUUUUGAUGCAUCACAGGUAGCGAUGUUAAGACUGCUGAAGAUUUAAAUAAGAUGUUGAGUGAUUGGAGAAAAGACAUGCAAUAGAGUUCAGGACCACAAGUCUUUACGCUGUAACUAUGUUGUGUAUUGAUUAUGACAUCCUUAGAGUUUUGUAUUUUGAAACAUCUGUAAGUUUCCGCAAUUUUUUUAUUAUACUGAGAUUUUCCGCAAACAAACAUGUUAUGGAUUUUCAAAGUGUAAAGAAUUUUUUUGUGGGUUCUUGAAAAUAGGGAUAGCUACGUCCCCGACAUAUUGUCUCUAUGGGUAAGGUGGGAAUGAAAAAAAUGUUGGCUGGUUUCCAAAAAGCUAUAAGGAUGAUACAUCAUCCCAAAAAGAAAUUAAAUUAAAUAUAUAAAUUUAUGUUAAUCUUUUUAAUUGUAAAUUUGGCAUUUUGUUUGAGGGUGUAUGGAUAACAAGUUGUCCUUAUAUGGUCUAUAGUCUCUAAAAUUUGAGUAAGUCUCUAUUUCUCUUUAACCGAUCGCAACUCUAAAGCCCUUCUCUUUCACUCUCUUAGGACAUUAGUACAAAAAUCGACAUUGGCCAACAAAAAAAGUGUGGCCAUAUGUUGUUAGCCACAUUUUAUUUUUUCAGCUCAAAUGUGAUUAAAUGUUUUUGUCCUUUUAGGUAUCAUACGACCACAUUGAAAUAUAGUUGUAAUAUCUCAAAAUUUUAAACCAAAUUUUCUUUUUUAAUAUAAAGGAAAACCAUACUAAUUUUAGUCUAAAAAGAUAAUCAACCAAUUGUUCACAUCAUUAAAUUAGAGUCAUAAUAAAACCAAAGUGCAGAAAUUUCAACAAUACAAAAUCAGAUGUGAUGCCAACAUGCCGUGCCUUUCCACUUGCUAGAAGAAGUAUGCAGAAGCACCUGAAACAUUUAAAAUUUAAACCAUAAUCAUAAACCUUAGUGAGUUCCCCAUGAUACCACUUACAUCACAAGUAAUCAUACAUAAGUGUAACAGAUUUAUUUCAACCAUGUGAAUGCUACAGGUCGUACAUAGUCUCACAAUCACUUUUUGCUAUGUAUCAAAGAUAGUCUUUCCUGCUAUGUGCCAAACAUAGUCUUUCAUACAAGUGUUAUGGGCUAAACAUAGUCUUUCAUGCAAGUUACAAAGAUAAUCAACAUAUAGUGUCCUAUACGAUAUAGUGAGAAGACUGGCCUGAAUCAGAGCUGAAACCAAACUACUCGAAGUCUCACAGAACCAGGUACACAAACCACCUAGACCAUCAAAGCCAUAAUCCUCUGCAUAUAACUCAAAACCUCCAAGUUUGACCAAAAGUCAAACUGGUAAAAUAGUCAAUGAUCAAAGUUAGUGGUUAACGGUCAACGUCCUCCACACCACGGCCAACCCCAUGGUCACACCGUGAUGGCAUCCCAAAAAAUAGUUGCGACUGCAACGCAUAACCAUGAUGCAGAAAAUCCUUGGCCACAUUGUGAGUAUUCUGGAAGAACACAACUUCAUUAAAUUCUUAAUUCUUAUAGAUCGAGCCUUGUCUCUUCAGAUAUAAAUAUUUUCAAUGACUUAACGUCUAAAGUGUGACAUCCCCUAUUUUAAAGAACAAAAAAGCUUUUCUUUAUGCUUUUAAAACCAUGUUUUUUUGAAAGCGUGUCAUUUUAUUAAAACAUUUUGAGUAUAAAUGAUGUUCCAAAAUACUAAAAACUCUAAGGAUUUCAUAAGCAUACAGAUAUAUCAGUCCUAAAUACUAUUGCAAGUUGUCUCUUCAAUCACUCAACAUCAUAAUCAACUUCCAACAGCCUUAGUACCACUACAUGUUAUGCAUAGAAUUUGAGUGGGUCGGGUUUGGGAACCUGGUGAGAGACAUAGGGUUUUUGAUCCCACAGUAUUAUUAUGAUAAUAAAUCAUAUAUAAAUAUCCUGCAAAACCAACGCUACCAAUAAUAUAGAUAUAUAAUCCAAAAAAGAUAUUUAUAAGAUAAUAUACACCUACAUACCUAGCCCAAUCGAUUUUCAUAAAUCCUAAUCAACGAUCAUCUGGAAGAAUCGCCUUAUCCGAUGAAUCAUUUAGAGCAACAACUUGACUACACAACCAAGGGAAGGGGACAGAGUACCCGAAUGAACACACAAUGCUUUUCCCUGGAUGAGAUUCAUUAACAUAUACAGAUUGUAAGUCUGCUAGUGUUCCACAAGAUUGUCUAGAAUAGUAAGUGGUCGUCAUCUAUAUUCUACUACAUAACUAGUCCCAAUAGUACAAUAGUACAAUUUUGGUCGUACCUGAAAAGUUUUAUAGGUUAUAAAUCAAUGCAUGAGGAAGAAAUAACUUAACCCUUAAGUUCACAUGCAACCUAGUUGUAUCUAAGUUUUCUCUAUUGAGAACAAUAAACUCAUAAUAUCUAGAACUCUAAGGAGGCCCUACUAUUAUCAAACUUCACAUAGAGUUAGGGUUUACAUACCUUUUGAUUAUUAUAGUAAAUAAUCAAAUCAAGUCCUUUCUUCAAAUGCCUUGGAAAGCAAGCAACAAAAUAUUGAUGCCUCUAAUGGUUUAUACCCAAACCCUAGCAAUUAGAAGACUUGAGGAGAGAGGAUGAAAUUUUUGGCUCUAGCCUUUCUCAAAGGAGUGUAUGAAAAAUAGGAUCCUAAGGGUCAUAUUUAUAGCUGAUAUAAGGUGCCUUGGAAACCCUAAUUUGAAUAUAAUACUAUUAUUUCAAAUUAAAUAAUUAUCCAACUUCCUAAUUAUCUUCAAGGGAUAAUUCUAGAACCCUUAAAGGCUCUCCAAAACUGUCCCCUCCUAGGAAGGUUUUGGAACCUUUCUAUUAUUCAACUUUUGAACAAUGACAACUUAGUCCCUAUAAUUUUCUAAAACCCUUAUCUUUAAGGGAUAAUUCUAGAACCCUUAAAGGCUCUCCAAUUCAUUUCUGAUUAAUUCUUAAUUAAAUAUUACUAAUUCUAAUUAAUAUAUUAAUAUCAUAAUAUAUUAAAAAAUUAUUUAUUGCUAUUUAUUAAUCACAUAAUAAAUCAAUAAAUCAACCUCUCUCUUUAAAAGUCAUUAUAGUCAAUUGCUAGUUCUGAGGGCAACCCAAAAAGGACUUUGCUUUUAAUUCAAGUAUAUACCAAUUUAGUUAUUAGAUUAGAAACCUUAAUCUAACAGCCACCCACUUGGAUAAUUUUGUAACUACAAUUGAAAAUAUAACUUCUAAAUUAAAAAGCAAAGUGUGCUUUCCAAAGCAACUGUCGAACUCUGAUCCAAUCAGAAAUUGGCCCCUAAGAUAAGCGAUCAAAUAUUCCUUUAUUCUUCAAGAUAUCAUAUGGACAUGAGACAUGGAUUACAAUCAAUCUCAUUGUCUAAAAUUAUGUUUCCUGAUCUGUGAUGACGUCAUUAGACUACUAAUUGAAUACAUCAAUUCAGUCCUAGCUGGGCACAACACUAUAAUGUGAACACCAAAUCACCGAGGGACCAAAUAUAUUGCUUUUCCUAUUAGGGCAAAAGGAACGAAUAAACUUUGACUUAUAUACUUAUACCCUUUACUCACCAAAUCGUGCAUGUAAUUACGUUUAAUAGUAUCGUGUUACUGAUCCAUUUUCGCAAUACAAAUGCACAAUUGACUUGUAAAUUACAACUUAUAUAUCUUUGUUUGAAGAAUAAAAGAUAUUAUCAUCUCAAAAUUAAUUGUGAUAUAAUAUAUGAAGUAAUUCUCUGAGCGUGAGUUUAUCCAAUACUCAAAAAUCUCCAUUUUUCAAGCACUCAUGAAUAUUGUAGCAAACCCAUUGCAAUGUCUAAUCUCCAUAGACAAUCUACAACCUUUUCAAGACAGUCGUACUUUACUACUCACUUCCAAAAGUAUGAGUGACUGUGAAAUUUUUGAAUAAUCAAAUCUUUCAGGAAGUAAAACAUGCAAAAUAAAACACAAAAAUAAACAAACAAAAAGGCGAUAACUAUACUCAUAAAUAAUUCUCUAUUAUUUAAUCACCAAAUUCAAUUACAUUUAUUUUCUUAAAAAGUUUAAACUGUCAAAUAACUACUAAAACUAACAUCUUCUCUCAAGCCCAUGCUCCAAGCAUGCUGGUUGUGUUUAACCCUACUCAGAGCUUUUGUGAAAGGAUCUGCAAGAUUGUCUUCUGAUGAUACACGCUUCAUGUGACAUCCCCAAAAUCUCGGCCAGAAAAGACCGAUUUUCAUUUAUGCUUUUAAAUAAUUUCAGAGUAAAUCCUUUUGAUUUGAAAGAGUUGCGGAAUUUGUUCCCAAAACAAAACAUGAUAAAAUAAUAUUUAUCAAAGCAUUUCAUCAAGAGAUGCAUUUCAUUAUAUAAUCAAAACUCGGGAUGUCAUGUUCCGAUACAGACCAUAAAGCAUAAACGAUAACAUUACAAGUCAUUCAACAAAUAUAUACAUAUACAGACUUGUAAACAAAACAACAAGAUGAUCCAUCCAUCUUACGCCCUUGUGCCACUUCUUGUAAUACAAAUAAAACUGAGUGGGUCAGGCUUGGGAGCCUGGUGAGCAUAUAGGGUUUUUAACCCACAAUAAAUAAGUUAUAUUUAAUUUCACUAACCAAUCGCUAUCCCGAUUACCCAUUCCCGUUAUCCUCACUUUACGUCCCUAAAACAACUAUCUCAAGGGACCUAAUCUAGGAUUUUCAUCGGGACGGACAUCACUGCGAAGGGGUUUCCUCAACAAUAGAUAUCCUAAAGGCAACCAUGAGGGGGAUAGAGUACACCGGUGAACACAUCGUUCACAACACCUACAGGUUAUGAACCUGCUAGCGUUCCACUGGACUGUCUAGAAAGAGUCCGUGGUCGUUAUCCAUACUCCGCUGAAUAACUAGAUCAACAACAACAACAACAUCGAGGCCUCUCAUCUGUUUAUUACACACCAACUAUCUACCCAUGUUCUACCCAACAUAUUAGUAGAUAAAAAUAUAUAUUUUCAUACGUAGUUUAAAGAAAACCUGUAUAGCAUGCUUUAAUCAACACAUAUGUCACAUAACAGAUGAGGCACACACACAUAACACAUAUCUCAUAAAGAAAUAAGCAGAUCUAUAAGAUAGAAGAGAGUGAAUACUCAUUCACACAUAACACAACCAAAUAUAUACACAUAGCACGUAUUUUUAUAUAAAAUACUUCGUAUUAUUGUAUUAGAAGAAAUAACUACACACUCACUUGAUCAGAAGACGAUCCGACAGCACUACGGCUUAUAGAAGUAGUAAUCCACAGCAGAUCUGGAAGAUCUCCUCGAAAAUCGAACUUCUCGCGGGCAGAGCUUCGACUCGGGAACCGCGCUUCUCGGGAUCUUCGGGAUCUCGGGACUUGCCUCGGGGCUAGAGUAUGAUACCGGGNNNNNNNNNNNNNNNNNNNNNNNNNNNNNNNNNNNNNNNNNNNNNNNGGAGCCUCGGAGUACGCAGGGCGUAUUGCAGUACGCAGCGCGUACUGCGUCCGAAAUCGUCACUGCAUGCGUCAUCCGAAGUGUUGACACUAUCGGAGUACGCGGUAGUGUACUCGCGUACGCGGGGCGUACGUCGGAUCAGACUGGUGACUCGGCUUCGGAUAAUGCCGGAUUUUUGAUUUAAAAAUAAAUACAAUUUAUUUAUCAAACUUCGGAAAUUCAUAUCUUCUUCAUACGAACUCCGUUUUCGACGUUCUUUAUAUCCACGGAAAGGUGAGACUACGCUCUAUAACUUUCGUUUAGACUCCGUCGGCUAAUUUUGAUUUAUUUUUAUUAUUUAUUUUUAAUAGGCCGCGACAGAAAAACUUCGUUAUAAAUUCAUAACUUCUUCGUUUGACGUCCGUUCUCGCCUAACUUUUUAUCGCUUCGAUACCAACAAUGAGAUCUUCGAUUCUCAUUUAGAUUGCCUCGGCUAAAAACCGCUUGAUCUCAAUUCGAGUAUUUCAGGCUGCACAUCGCUAAGUUGAAACUUCGAUAAAUCAUAACUUCCUCAUACGAAGUCAGAUUUGGGCGUUCUAUAUAUAUUCGAAAACCUCGUUUCAACUACUACAACAUUAACCAAAGAUAUUAAGUUUAUUUUACACUUAAAUUUUGAUGCUUAUUUUUAUUCUUAAUUAAUCAGACCACAUAAUUAAGCAACUAAGCACAAAACACAUAAUACUCAAAUAAUACAUUCUUAUUAUUUCAAAAUGGGUUACAAAGGUUAACCUAGACUAUCACAUUGCUAAAAAUGGCAAGCCCGGAAACACAGGCGUUACACUUCACUAGGAGAUGAUAUUCUUCAACCCUAUGUCUGAUGUAAUCGUACUUUCUUUCGGUAUGUUUGGAUCUACCAUGAUCCUUUGGUUCUUUAGUCAAAGAAACCACCCUUUAAUUAUCAAAAAAAAGUUCCAUUGGCUCUUGAAAGGUCGGGACUACUUUGAGAUCGCCGAUGAAGUUCUUCAACCAAGUCGCCUCCUUUUAUGCCUCACUUGCUGCGAUGUACACUGAUUCACAAGUAGAAUCAUCCAUCUUAUCCUGCUUGGAACUUUUCCAAUUCACCGCUCCACCAUUUAACACAAUCACCCAUCUCGACUGAGAAUAAAAGUUGUCUCGAUCUGUUUGAAAUCUGGUGUCACAAUAUCCACUUACUCUUAAAAUAUCACUACGACCAAGGACUAGAAACAUAUCCUUCAUCCUCCACUGAUGCUUAAGAAUCUUAUUAACUGCAGUCUAAUGAGCUCUGCCAGGAUUUCCCUCAAAUUGACUAACCAUGCUCAAAGCAUAAGACAUACCAGGAUGAGUACAUUUCAUAACAUACAUGAUCUACAGCCGAAGCAUAUGGGAGCCGACUCAUGUAAGCUAUUUAUUGGAAUUCUCCAUACUAAAAAGUUUUAGUAUUUUAUCCAAGUAUGUACUCUAGCUAGGAUAAUAAGUCAUUUCUUUCUAUGCCUCAAAAUCCUUAUUCCAAGAACUUAGGUUGGUUCCCCUAGGUCCUUCAUAGCAAAACACUUUCCAAGCCAAUAUUUCACUUCUUGCAAGGUCAGAAUGUCGUUUUUUUAUAAGGUGUAUGUCACCAACAUACAAUAAUAGUGUACUUACGUAUUAGAAGCUUGUAAGGAUGAUUAGGGUCCAAAAAUAAUAGUGUGUUCUUGGUGUUCUUGGCAAAAUGAAGAACACUUGAAGAUCUAUCCAAAAAAAGAGAUUUCAUGGAUGAAAUCAUGAAUAUUCACUGGAUAUGGAAGGAUAUCAAGUUGAAAAUGGAAAUAUUACUUACAUAUUUGAAGAUUGGAAGAAAAAGUCUUAUGAGCCUUGGAAGAGAAUCCAAUUUCUAGGCUUAAAAUGGUAAAAGUGAUUUAAAAUGACUAAGUGUCAUAUAUAUACCAUAGAGUUUAUGGCCGUAAACUCCAUUUUACGGUCGUAAACUCCAAUUCUUGGAGUUUUGUGGCUAGACUAUUGUACAUUGAACUCUAGAGUAUACUUCCUAUAAUUACCUCUUGAAGGUACUAAGCUUUAGAACACUCAAACAGACUCUAAACAGUGCUAAAAGUUAGUAGAAACAAGUCUGACUUUGAUUGAAGUGAAUGGUUGUACGAAAUAGAAAUUUCGGGCAGUCACAUCAUCCCCCCGUUAGAGAGAAUUUCGUCCUGAAAUUAGAUUUUAAGCAAUUAAGUUACAAAUAACUAAGCAAAAAGAUGAGGAUACUUCAAUUUCAUUUGAUCCUCGCGCUCCCAAGUGAAUUUAGGUCCUCGCUUGGCAUAGCAGCGAACCUUUCACUAUCGAGAUACAGUUUUUGCUUCUUUUGUUUGACUUCACUAGGAUGAUACCUCUUCCUGGUCGAAUGUGUGUUGAAUGUUUUUGUAGUAUGUGAAUAUAGUACUCUUUGUACAAUACAGGUAGUGUCUCCAGAUCUUCAGAGCAAAUACCACUGCACCUAACUCAAGAUAGUGUGUUGAAUAGCUGGCUUCGAGUGUCUUAAGCUGACGGGAGACAUAGGCAAUGACCUUUCCUCUUUGUAUAAGCACACAACCAAGCCCUUGGUUGGAUGCAUCGCAUUAUACAACGAAAUCUUUUAUCCUUUCUGGGAGGGAUAAUAUCGGUGCGGUGCAUAAGGCUUGUUUCAGUGUUUGGAACGCCUUCUCUUGUUUCUCUUCCCAGUCAAAGGCCACUCCUUUCUAGGUCAGUGAAGUAACGGUUUCACAAUGCUAGAGAAGUUCUGUAUGAACCUGCGAUUGUAGUCAGUGAGACCUAAAAAUUUACGCAUUUCUAUAGGUGUCUUCGGAGCUGCCCAAUUCUCAAUGGUCUUGAUUUUGGAGGGUCCACAUGAAUUCCCUUCUUGCUAACAACGUGGCCCAAGAAUUUGACUCUUCGAAUCCAAAACUCGUACUUAGAGAACUUCGCAUAGAGUUUCUUUGAUCGUAAUGUUUCUAAUACUUUUUGUAGGUGUUGACUAUGCUCCUCUUUACUACGAGAGUAGAUAAGUAUGUCAACGUUGAAAGCAAUGACAAAUUGAUCCAAGUAAGGACGACACACCCUAUUCAUUAGAUCCAUGAAUACAUCUGGUGCAUUGGUUAAUCCGAAUGACAUCACUACAAACUCGUAGUGUCCAUAACGAGUUCGGAAGGCUGUCUUAGGGACAUCCUACUCUAGCACUCGUAACUAGCGAUUUGGCUACUGGGGUAGUCCCUCGGACUAAGUCGAUUCGGAACUCAACUUGACGUCGUGGUGGUAACCCUGGUAGUUCUCCUGGAAAGAUGUCGGGAAGGUCGUGUGCCAUUGGAAUGUUCUGAAUGUAUUUCACUUCUUGGCUCGCAUCGACGAUGUGUGCAAGGAAUGCGUGAUAUUCCUUUCACAAGCACUUCUGAGCUUGAAUACACGAAAUGAUGCGAAGGUUCAUACUUGAUUCGUUGCCGUAGAUAACUAGAGUUUCGUUGUUAGGGAGGUUAAGACGAACUGCUUUCUCAAAGCACACGAUGUCGGCUCGAUGUAGACUCAACCAACUCAUACCGAUUAUGACGUCAAAACCUUGGGGUGGAUUAGAUAUCGUGAAGAUCUAAAAGAAAGUAUGAUUACUCAUAAAUUACGGAAAAAGGAUAGGUACUUCUGUUCCAUCUGCAUCUCUUGUCCCGAUCUGCAGAAAGAGCAUUUGUUUGGCUUCUAAGUUUAUUCGCAUGACAGCACGAUCACUUGUAGUCUUUAGUAGUCUCCAUCCUGAAAUUCAUAUUAGAAAUCACACUUAGUUCAUCAAUCAUAACCUCACGUAUACGAGUCGUUUAUAAUUAAGAUUGAAAAGGCAGUUAAAUAAACAAUUCUUAUAUAAGCUCACAUCUAAACAGGGAAAAGAAGUUAAAGCGGAAUCAUCAAUUCUAAGCCUGUAGAACCUUGAUUAUGUACCACCCUUGCGUUUAUAUUCCUCAGCGAUAGAUUAACCGUAUUGGUCUUCGGAUUGAACUUGACUUACUGUACGAGUGUUAUUCUAGGGAGGUUUGCCGAGGUUACUUCGGGAACGAUACGAAACAUAAAGGCACUCUACACAUGAGUACCUCCGAGUUCUGGAACGUCGACCUUGUUAGAAAGU
Molecule: long non-coding RNA, 58123 nt
Filed under: Lactuca sativa (garden lettuce)
Lineage: Eukaryota; Viridiplantae; Streptophyta; Magnoliopsida; Asterales; Asteraceae
Description: long non-coding RNA (LSAT_LNC007599)
Rfam family: Small nucleolar RNA snoR2/U65 (bases 392-545)
Source: RNAcentral